Molecule: long non-coding RNA, 52520 nt
Filed under: Durio zibethinus
Lineage: Eukaryota; Viridiplantae; Streptophyta; Magnoliopsida; Malvales; Malvaceae
Description: long non-coding RNA (DZIB_LNC001443)
Source: RNAcentral
CAUGCUCAUGUUUUGGUUGAUGUGGCGAUUCCUGCUGCAAGUUCUGCUCCUCCAAGUUGUCUUCCGGAUUUUCCUCCAAGUUCAAGUUCUGCUCCAAGUUCACAUUCUGCUCCAAGUUCAAGUCAUGCUGCAGGUUUGGAUUCUGCUCCAAGUUAUCAGGUUCUUGUGCCUGUUCCUCCUCAUGUUCAACAAAGCUUUGAUCAACUUCAGCUAUAUGCAUAUUGCUGCAGAGAAUAAAAAAGGAAAGAAAACAACACAUGAAAAAUAGUACAAUGCAAGAUAUUUGUUCCAAUCUGACUGUUUCUAAAGGUCAAUAAUAGCACGCUGAUAAUAGCAAAUAUUUGUGCCAACCUACCAUCCCUUGACUCGAUCCAAGGGACCAGGUUCCUCUUGACUCGAUCCAAGGCACCGAGUGCUGCUCCACGGGCGAUCCGACCCAGUUGCGACCUGUUUCAGACUUCAAGCCAAGCCGAUCUGUGAAGUCAAGCUGUUUGACGAGUUAAGACGAGCCUAAAGCCGCGCCUACCAAGUUGUUUUCUAUUUCUACAGUUGAACCCUCUUUUAGCUGCCGGGCUAAGUCGGGCAGUUCCUAUUUUUGGUAAUUUUUUUUUCUCUUUCUUCUUAUUUGAUGUAUGUAUUAAGUUAAUAUUGUUUAUUUUUUAAUAAAUAUUUUAAAGCUUUUAGAUAUUUAAGAAAAAGUUGAAGAAAAUAAAAUAAGAAAAGAAAUCUCAAAAAAAGUUGAAGUAAUAAUUUUUCUUUGAAUUUUUUUAUAUUAAAUAAUCCGAUUACGGAACCGUUACAAGAAAAACAGUAAUUUUUAUGUAUUUUCUUGAGGUGAGGAAACGUUCUUAAUUUUGUUUCAAAAGUAUUAGAGUCAAUUAAAAAUAAUUUUUAAUAAUUAACUAUUUGACAAGAUUUUUAAGGCUCAAUGGAUAAUAUGAAAUUAAGUUAGUACCAUUAUUUUAUGGGCAUUGUAAGGAUGCUAUAACUUUUCUCACACAUAACAGUACUCUCGAACUUUAUUCUAGUUUUGUAGACAUUAAAUCUACCUUUUAAAAAUACCUAAAUCAAACUUAAGAUUUCUCUUUAAAACGGGAUAAAUUCAGUUAGGUAGCUAAUCGCACUUAAACAAAAAAAAUUGACAAUAACUCCUUAAGUCACUAACGAUAAGUUCACAGAUCUAGACAUUAUGACACUUAACAUUUUAGAAUCUAUUUUGUUCGAGUAGGCCAAGACCAUUAAUUAACUUAAAACUUUAAUUAGUAUCAUUUUGAAGAUUAUCAUGAUCUUAUCACUCUAUGAUUUGCAAUUACUUUAUUUGUUUAACAAUCAUUAAUUCAUAGAAAUUAAAAAAUAUAUAUGAUAUCUUCAAAAAUCAAAUUUUAUUUUAUUUUUUUUCUUCAUAAAAAUAUAAAAUAUUAUUUUACUUAAAAGUACGAAAAUAUCCAUACAAAUUUCAAUAGUUACACAAGUUAAGAUUUUAAUGUUAUUUAAAGAUAAUUUGCAAGAUAUAGUAAUAUUUUAUUUAUUUUAUAAUAAAAUAUAAUUAAAUUGUUAAAUUAAAAACUAUAUUUAUUUAUUAGAUAAAUGAUGUGAAAAACAUUUGAAUUAGAAAAUAAAACUAAUCUAUUGAAAUCAUAAUAAAAGAACAAUAAAAAUAUAUUUUAUAUAAAACAUUUAAAAAUUCUGUUUAAAAAAAUACACAAAUUAUUUUUGAAGUUGCUAAAAUUAAUAUUAGUUUAAAAACUAAAUUUUAAAAUAUAAAAUAAUUAUAAUUUUAGGAGAAAGCAUGAUUUUAAUUUAUAUAUUAAAUAGAUAAUAUGGGUAUUAAUUGUUGAGUGGUUGAUUGAGAUUGUAUGUUCGUAAUUCUGUAUAACUAUUGGAUUUUUUUAUUCAUAAACGUAGACUGAUUGAAUUGAAUCACGUUAAAUUAUUAUUUUUUUAUUAAUUAAUUAAUUAUUUAAUUUCGCUUCUGUUGAUAUGAAUAUUCAUUUGAAUUAAAGCUUCUUUUGCUUAACAACUGGUAUUAGAGUUACCGUAAACCUAACAUUUUUCACAUAAAUGUGGCUCAAGAUUCAUAUUGCUAAGUGGACAAUAGUUCAAAAUGCUUUAAACACAUCAAAAUUCAAAACAUUUAAUAUCAUCCAAUUCUAAUCAAAUUUACAAUUUACACUCCCAAAUUUAGUGAUUUUUCUCAUAUACAAUAAAAGUACUUUAAAAGGAUUUUUCUUUAGAGUAUCCUAAUUAAGAACACUAUUUAAAACAAUAUUCUUGUACUUGUAUUAAAUGUGAGAGUUGACGGUAUUAUUAUGCAUUCCAAGACAUUGAAAGAAAUAAAUUACUUAAUAAUAACUUUAUAGAGUGUUCCUAAGGUACUUGUUAACAAAAUUCAUUUUUAAAAAGAGAUUUUGAUCCAAACCAACAAUCAAAACAAGAGAAAAAGGCUUGAAUCUUAAUGAUCAACUAAUGCUUUUAAAUGACAACAAUUUAUUUAUUGAUACAUAUAUUAAUUUUUUAUACAAAAUAAAGAGAGCAAUAAAUUACAAACCUUGGACCUCUAUAAUCAUCCCACCCCACCCUAUUUGACAUUGCAAAGCCUUAUGCAUUUCCAGAGGUUUGAGUAACAAAAAUAUAGCAGCAAAUUGAGUACAUUCCUUCACUUUCUUGAACCUCGCAUCACUUAAUUUACUCCUUAAUUCCCCCAUAAUAUACCUUUUGCAAUAAUAUAAGCGGCAGCACCAGGCAAGCCUGAUCCGAAUAAGGCCUGAUUGCUCAUGGCAUUACCCGUUUUGCAGUAGGUUGCAAAGCUCUCACAGUUGUUAAAAACCAAGUGGUAAUCACCGAAGGAUUGCUUGUCGAGAAAACAAUACGCUGUCCGAAUAACCUUGUCAGGAGGAUAAGAAUCCCAAUAACUGCAACUGCCGUUACUUUUAAAAUUAAAUGUCAAGUAGGAGACGCCAUAUUCGUAGACAUAGACUAAGCUACCGUCAAGGAAGCAAUCGAGGCAGGUUAUGAUAACUCCCAUAUUUUGAGAAGUGUAGAAACAUCUCUUGCAUUGGGGUUUACAGCUGCUUUUCUUGUAAAAUCCGAGGAAAUGAAUGACUGCAUCGUAUAUUUCUUGUUCUUCUCCAUUAUUUUUCGGGUUAGUGACCGUGGCUUUGCCCACAUAUAUGCCUGGAGUCAAAUUAAGCAAGGAAAAUUGAGAAAGUAAUAAAGAUCUGCCUGGUGUAUGGAAAAUGUUAGGGAAAAGACAAGGGUAUUUUAAAAGAAAGGAAAAAAUAUAAAAUUUCUUACCUUUAUUGAAUUAUGAGGAAAAUACAAAAGAAAAUGCGAAGAAAUUUUCUUUUUAUGCAUAUAUUUGUCAAAGAGAAAAAGAUUUAAAUCUCAAAUAAUCAGAUUAUCUUAAAAAAUUAUUUCCUAAAAAAUAAAAACAAAAAAAUUUUUCUCAAACCAAACAUAUUUGGUUUCUUUACCUAUUAUUUUCCCUCGUACCAAACAUGAUGUAAGGAACUGAAGAACUGAAAAGGGUAGAAGAAUUAAAUUUAUAUCUUCCCAAAACUAAGUCUGGUUGAACAAGUGCAACAUGUUAAAAGAAAUAAACAUGUAAUUAAACAUUAUUGCUUCUUGAAUUUGAUGAAAACAAUACAUUAAAUGCAAAUUUCCCGUUGAAAAAAAUAUAAAAAAAUAUAUAGAUAUAUACCAUGGUGAUAGUAUAUGCCUCCGCUACAAGGAGUAAAGAUAUGAUCAGCUCGUUGGAGCGAGUCUCUUCUAACAGGUUUCAUCUUCCUUUUUCAGUUCUUCUAUCUCCUCUUUAAUUGUGUCUGCUUUCGUAAUAAACGCUGCAAAUAUAUAUAGAUGGAAAGGUUACUGCAAUCAUACAAUUAAAACAGACAAUCUACGGCUUAAAAUUGGAGAAUAAAAUAAAGUAAAAAACAACUGCUUAAUAUCAAUAAUCCUAUUUUCGAAUAUUAAUAAGUGGCAGUGGAAUGCAUUAUUAUUCUAUUUGGAUGAGAAAUAAUUGUAGUGGAAAGAAUUUUUUCUUUUUUUAGAUCAAAUUCCGACUGAAUAAAAAUGGAGAAUGAAUAAAGCUAGAAGAAAAGUUUCUUAUCACAAAAAAUUUUUUUUUCUUUUGGAUUGAAUAAGUAUUCUCUGAAAUGAUGGAGCACCAAGAAAAGCAUCAAAUGAUCUUUUGAUGAUGCUUGUUUUGAGCCUUUGAUCUGUUACAAUUUGGUAUGAGAGAUUUUGAUUAAUUUCUCCUAAUCUAAAUCAAAUUUAUCACCUAUCUUUGAUUAAGCAAAACGGGAUUAAAGAAUAGUACUACUUGUCUCUUUUUUCCUUUUUUUACUAUAAAACUUGUCAAAUUUUGAAUUUUGAUUAUUAAAAUUAAAAAUUCAGUAUUCUACUAAUAGAUACACGACUGUUGGCAUACUAUUAUUAUCUCUGAUUACAACGUAGCUUAAUAUAAACCAAAAAUACAAAAAAUUUUGAAGAGGGCUAAGAACCUCAGACAUCCCAAUAAUCUCAUAAGCCCUCAGAUAUCGAUUGAUAUCGAUGUGGUCACCCUAUCUGAGGGCAUCACGUCUCACAUCCUUCUUAAUUUCCUUUUUUUUUUUUAUGAUUGCCAAAAAAAUACUCUUUUGUAUAUACGUUGACAUAUAAAUAUAUAACUAUUGGAAAUCAAGGCAGUGAAUCCAAAGCAGGUGAUGAGAAUUGCUAAUGAACAAUCCCUACGUCUAACUCUACCAAUUAGUGAUAUCCUUGGGGUUUAAUUUUGUGUUGAAAGAGAAGUUAAUAUUUAAGUCAGUUGUUGCUACAGCUUUAUACACAGGUCCAGAUCCCUUGGCUAGGCUUUGAUUUAAACAGGGAAAAAGGAAAAAAAGAAAAGAAAAAGAUUGGUAAUUCGUGAGUUCACUCCAACUUCUGCAUAAAAUUAGGUCUUUCAAAAUUGUAAUCCCCUCGAUAACUAGCAAAGAAUUGACAUAUAUAUAAAAUAUGAAAUGGUUAUUAUAGCUUUAACAAGACAAUAAUAAAUUAAAGAAUCGAUACGUUAUCUAUGGCUGGGUUUAACCUGAUCUGCACAUGGCAUUUGAAUUCUUGUAUAUGUAAUUUUAGCAUAACUUCCAAGCCUAAAUUGUCCAGAAUUGGCAUCGAUCAACAGCAAUCGUAAGUGUCAUUUCUCAUAUCUGGUCCAUUCGCCAGUUGUUCUUGGCAAUUUUAUUCUAGAUUUAGAAAACGAUAUCCAUUAUGAAUCAUGUUCAAUCAUUAUAAAAAAUUUAAAACAAACAAUUCGAAAAAGGAGUGUCCUUUUCAUGUAAAUAUGGCUUAGCAUUCAUGUUUUGUUCAGCUAAAGGACCAUAAAAAUUUUAGAACAUUUUAGCUGACAAAUUCACUGUUAAAAAAAAUUUUCUUUUCAAGAAUCACUUCACUGAAUAUUAAUUAGCUGGUGGGUGUGACGAAUUAAAUGUGACAUAUGAAUGUUUACAUAUGCUAAAUAUAUAAUUAAAAUGCAAAUAUCUUUAUGUAUGAGCUGCCUGUUAAUUAAGUAGAUUUGGUUUUUUUUCUUAUUUCAAUAAUCCAAAUCUGGUUUUAGUUAACAGUUAUUAUUCCUCUAGGGUUGUCGUUUAGAAUGUUUGAUUGAAUUAAUAUACUCUGAAAGAUUGAGCACCACGAAAAGCAUCCGAUGCUCCUUAGAUGAUGUUUGUUUUGAGCUUUGAUUUGUUUAUAAUUUGGAACCUCAAUUUAAAUUUUCCCUCACUGUAGAUACCCAAUUUGGUCCAAGCCCGGAUCAAUUGGGCCUGGUCCAAAUGGGUAAACUUAUUUUCUUUUUUUAUUUUUGUAUUUUACAUUUUUAUUUUAUUUAUAUAUAUAUUUAUUUUUUUUUCUUUUAUUUUUAUCUUAUGUAUUUAUUUUUUUUAUUUUUAUUACUAUUUAUUAAUAUAUAUAUCCUUAUUUUUUUUCUGUUAAUAUUUAUAUAUAUAUAUUUAUCUGAUUAUAUAUUAUAAUUUAUCUAUUAUUUAUAAUUUAUCUGUUAAUUUUUUGGUUUAUCGAUUAUUUAUUUAUUAAAAUUUUUUAUUAUUAUUUGAUUUUUUUAUUAUUUUUUUAUUUCUUUUUUUUCGGCUGAAGAUUGGAUUGGGAUUCAAUCAGAGUCCAUAUUGGAUUCAAUGAUUGAAUCCCGAUCCAAAGAGGAGUUGGGAUUGAUCAGAAACUCUUCUGAUCAAUCCCUAUAAAAGGACCCUCGGAUCAAAGGAAAACAGAUAGAAAAAAGAGUUAUUGGCUGAGAAAAAAAGGCAGAGAGAAGAGAUUUGAAAGCUGAAAAAGGGUUUAGAGGUGUUAGAAUAGCUUUAGGAAUCUGUGGGAAAUUUUUGGAGAUUUUUCUGUGAAUUUUUUUUUCUGGAAAAUUUUCAGAUUUCGAUUGAAUUUUUCGACGAAGGUUGAAUUUUUCGGUAACUAUUUCGGCCAAGUUUGAAGUUUUCAUCCAGCCUCCCAAUUUUCGGUAAGAAUUUUCAGAAGCCGACCAACUUUUCAGUGAACUUUCGACGAAAAACCUAGAUUUCGACGAAAAUUUCCAGAAUCCAGCGGUCAUUCAACCGGAGUUCUUCGGGUUUCUAGAGAGAAGGAAGAGAAGAGAAAAGAAGAGAGAGAGAGGAAAGAAGGCUUCUGCUGAAGAAACGAAGGAAUCAGCCUUAUAUACCCUCCUAAAAUGACGUCAUCUCUGCAUUAAGUAACCCAGAGGAUCCACUUGUUUUACCAAGAUCCGAUCCGACCCGAGCGUCAACCCGCUUUCGACCCGCAUGUGACCCGCGUCUCAAGCCGUUAGCCAAGCAAAGCCGACACCCUGAGCCGCGUCUCCGAGCCAUUUUUUCUUCCUCAAGCCGAGCCGAGCCGAGCCGCAAGCCGAGCUGUUCUCAUGUUUUUUUUAUUAUUUUAUUUAUUUAUUUAUUAUUAUUGUUAUAUCAGAAUUGUUUAACAUUUUUAUUAUUUAUUUUUAUUUAUUUUCAUUUUUAUUCUAUUUAUUUUAUUUUAUCAUUUUAUUUUUUUUAAAUAAAAUUAUUUUUGAGGAAAAGUUAAAAGUAUCAAUUUUCCUUAAGAAUAAAUUUUCAAAAAAAAAUGUUUUGAGGAAAAGUUGAAAGUAUCAAUUUUUCUCAAAAUUAAAAGUUUUCAAAAACUAUUUUUGGGGAAAAGUUGAAAGUAUCAAUUUUCCUUAAAAUAAAUUUUAAAAAAAAAAAAAGGCGUUUUGAGGAAAAGUUGAAAGUAUCAAUUUUUUCUCGAAAUUAGAAGUUUUCAAAAAAUAUUUUUUUAAGGGAAAAGUUGAAAGUAUCAAUUUUCCCUUGUACAAAAGCAAUCAUUUUUUUCUUUUUUAUUCCUUUGAAUUUUUUUAAUGUUAAAAAUCCAACGAUAGAGCCUCUGCAAGUGAAACGGUAGUUUUCUUGCAUACUCUUGAGGUGAGGGAUUUUUUCAAUUUUUGCUAAAAGUAUUAGAGUCAAUUGAGAAUAAUUUCCAAUAGUUAAUUACUUGAUAAAAUUUUAAGGCUUAUUGGAUAUACAAAAUUAAGCUGGUGCCAUCUUUUGAUGGGCGUUGUUGAGGGUGCUAUAACCUUCCUCACACGUAACCGAACUCCCGAACCCUGUUCUGGUUAGUAGACCUGAACCUAUUCUUUUAGGGACCCUUAAACUUAGGUGUUCCCUGAAAUGAUAGAUUUCUUAGGUGGCCAAUCGCACCUAGAUAAAAAAAGAUUGGUGGCAACUCCUUAAGUCAAUGUCUAGCGAUAGAUCCUCGGAUCUAGACGUUAUGACAGCUUGGCGACUCUACUGGGAAACUCCGAGAGUCAGGCUGGCAAAUAAAUUUGUGUUAUCCAAAAGCCUAAUAAAAUUGAACCUUUUGUAUAGAUUUUUUAUUCAUUCAUGUUUAUUUACUUUAUUAAUUAUGUCAUUCAUAUGCAUAUGCAUAACAUGAGCUCUAUACCCGAGCUCCGUCCCUCUAGGAGGGAGUAAAGUACCUAUUGCUUUCGUGAAGUUUAAUGCCUCCGCAGUGGCUAGCGAAAUACUCUCACUCAAAUUGAACCUUUUUCGCUUGUAGCCUGUAAUGGGUGAGGAUUAUGGUGCCUUACUAGUCUGUGAUGGACAAGGAUGUAAAGAGCAAUUUGGGAACCUUUAGACUUUGACCUUAAACCACAUAUAGUGAACCUUAGAAGUGCUUAGCCUAUAGAUAAAGCCAUUAUUCUUCCCUUUUAGAUUUGACCAGAAGCAUAGGGUUCAUUCUUCUUUUUCUGUGUGAUGUUUAAAUUUACUUAGUUAUUUAUGUAUUUAUUUAUUUUGGGUGUACUAACAUUUUCUCCCAUUCUUCUGCAUUGGUUCAUGCUCAUAUCAUACAGUUGCAUAAAGAACAUUUGCUUAAAAGACGAUCUUCAACAAAUUUUUUUCAUGGACUGCAAUGAAUGACUAGUUUGCUCUUCAUCCGUAUUAGCGCCUUGUGAGACACCCAACGAAGUAAGGGCCCAGUCAGAAAAGAUUCAACUGAAGAUAAGGGAUUGUUUACCAAUCGGAUAUGAUUCUACUCUGUCUCAAGAAACAUCUAUCCUCCUCAAACAGAACAAUCUAAAGGAUUUGCUUGAUAUCUGGAAGAAGAUGGGUCCAUCAAGACAAAAGCAGUUUUGCCAGAGACACGGUCAUAUAGCACACCUUCUAGUAGUAGUUGUUGAUGAUCAACUAAUCAGAGCUGCAGCAUAAUUUUGGGAUCCUGCAUACAAGUGUUUCAUCUUUAAUGAAGCUGAUAUGACUCCCACCAUUGAAGAAUAUUUGAUUUUAUUGGGUUUACACCUCAAGGCUCCCGACAAGAUAUAUGUCAAAAAACACAAGUCAGGAUUUCGUAAGGGUCUGGCUCAACUCAUGGGGAUAGACAAGAAAAUUGUGGAUUCUCAUACAAAAAAGAAAUAAGAACCGGUUUGCCUACCUUGAAAGUUCUUUCAUGAGUUUCUAGUACAACAUGCCAAUGAAGAACGGGGGUUAGAUAUAUUUACCUUAGCCAUAUACGGAAUGGUGAUCUUUCUAAAGGUUUUGGGUUAUAUUGAAAUAACGGUGGUGGACUUCUUCGAGAGUGUGAUCAAUGGCUGUAAUCUUUCAACGGUAAUAUUAACAGAGACUAUCAGAUCUUUGAGUUAUUAUCGUCGAAAUGGAGGGUAAUUUAUAGGUUGCAUACAGUUGUUGUACUUAUGGAUGAAAAGCCAUUUUGAAUAGGAAAAUGGUGCUUUCUUGAAACUUUAUAUCCGUAAUCGUGCUUCGAUCAAGGAAAUUCUAUGAAAGUGGGUGGUCAGAACGAAAGUCUAAAAAGGAAUGGAUAACUUUCCUACAAAAAUUGAUCAGCGUCAAUGUGAGAUGGUUGACCCCAUAGAUGAAUCGUGAGCCUAUGUUGUAUCAAUGUAAGGAUAGUACAGUGGUCCCACUUCUGGGUUUAUAGGGAGCAACAAAUUAUGCACCACUCAUAGUGAGAAGGUAGUUUGGGGCAGAACAGUUCAUUCCUAUGACUUAUGGGCUUCAUCAGUUAAAUUUCUCUCACUGUGAGCCUAAAGUAUUUCAAAGAAUGAAUGAGAUGAUCAAAGCAUGUAAAAAUCCUUGAAGGGUGAGUCUUGGACCGUUUACUGAUAAAGUCACUACAGGGUACUUAGUUUGGAGAGCAAAACGAAGACAAAAAAUGGUAUUCACUUAUGAAAGCUUUCAACCACCAAUAGAAGAAAAACUUGAAGAGACACCAUCAGAAUUAGAGCUUGCAACAAAAAAAUUUGAGUCUGAAAAAGGUAAGCUAAAGCAAGAAAUCUAGAAGCUUCAAGAAAAAAAAGCCCAGUGGAAAGAUAGAGCUAGAAGUCAUGAAGUUAAAGUUCACAAGAUUGCUAAAAAACAUGAUACAACUAUUGAAGACCUAGCAAAGCUACACCAAGAGCAUAAAAGGUUAUGUGUGAGAGAAAGGGCCAAAGAGAUAACCAUUAUCGAGCUGACUGAAGAAAAUGCAAGAUUGAAGCAAGAGUAUGCUGAAUUGGAAGAAGAAAGUACCCAAAUACAGACAAAGAGUAACAUGCUAACAGUUAUCUUAGCAGGCUAAGGUAAAAGUUGAAUGAACAAGAAAACCAUAUUGCUACAUUGGUUAAGGAGCAUAGAAAAUUAUCAUACCAAGUCUGGUGUGGGAAAAAAGAGAACUUAGGAAGACAAAAAUACAUUGAGCACCUAACGACCUAAAUCCAUAAAGGGGUAUCCAAGGCAAAAGAGAUGAUGGAAGAGGCAGAGGCAUUGAAACAAAUGGUGACCCCAGUAGGAGAACAUGGACAGCGUUGUUGAACUUCAUUGAAGAAGCCAAGGCCCAGUAUGAACAGAUCAAACAAUUUUAUGGUUAUAAUUCUAGGAUGAUAAACUCAAUGUAAAUAAAAGUUUUUUAGAAUAAAUGAAAUCUUUUAAUUGAAUACCGUUUUUAAGGUAAAUGUUUUUUGCAUACAUGCAUUUUUCAUUCAUUGCAUUCUCAUUUAUUACACUUAAUAAAGUAACCAUGUGAUAGUUAUACGAAUUUACUAAUCCUAAGAUAUGGUACUCAAGGUUCAAAGAUAGCUCCAUCUAGCGAAAACCCUGCCCAUCGAUACAACACAAGAUCCAGAGCCAGACAAAUAGAGCAAAAAAAUUCUCACAGAUUUGAAAAAAUAGAAAAAGCACAGGAAAAGAUUGAAAGUAAGUUGAGCAAGAUUCUGGAUGCUCUUAAUAAGCUGAAUAAGGGAAAAAGAGUUGAAAAAAAUGUAAGCCAACAAGUUCUCCCGUUGCAAGAAGUGGCUGACCCUUUAUAUCCUUCAAGUUUUGGCCCACCUCAAGCCCAGUCUGCUCAAGAGGUUCCACCAUAACACUUCACAUAUCCAACAUAUCCUGGAAUACCGUCAGUUUCUAACCCAGGGCAUUGUAAUAGCUAUGUAAAUCCUGUCUUUACUGAAAAGGUAGUAGAACCAAUUCCUGAUCUAAAUGAUUUGAAAGAGAAGAAGAAAGAAAAAAUAAGGGUGAAAACUCAGGAAAGCUCCAAGAUUGGUAUGCUAAAACAAAGGCUACGGGCUGUAGAAGGAUUUGGUUUCUAUGGUUCAGUUGAUGCUGCUGGGCUUUGCUUAGUCUUUGAUGUGGUCAUUUCUCAUAAGUUCAAAGUACUAAAAUUUAAAAAAUAUGAUGGUACGAAGUGCCCCAAAAUCCACAUCACUAUGUAUUGCAGGAAGAUGGUAGCUCAUGCUCAUGAUGAAAAACUCUUGAUGCAUGUCUUUCAGGAUAGUCUUACAGGCUCAGCGGCCAGGUGGUAUGUUCAGCUGGACAGAACCUGCAUUCGUUCUUGGAACGAUAUGGCUCAUGACUUCAUCAGCCAAUAUCGAUAUAUUUUUAAUCUGGCCCCUGAUCAUUUAUCUUUACAGAACCUAGAGAAAAAGGUAAAUGAGUCUUUUAAAGAGUAUGCCUAGAGAUGGAGAGAUAUAACUUCUCAGGUACAACCUUCACUGACUGAGAAAGAGACCACAGUACUGUUUGUUAACACUUUAAAACCUUUCUAUUAUGAAAAGAUGAUAGGAAAUGUAACAAAAAAUUUUACUGAUAUGAUAAUUUUGAGAGAAAUUAUUGAGAGUGCCAUCAAGAAUGGCAAGUUAAAAGAAAAUGAAGCAUCUAGCAAGAAAGUCUCAAAGAAGAAAGAGACUGAAGCUUAGGCUGUGAGCUUUGAUAGACAGUAAUUUGGGGGCUAUCAACCCUACUCACCACCAAGAUACCUGUCAUAUUACCCUACUGUAAAUAACACUUCCUCUUAUCCAUACCAACCAUUUGUACAGUCACCUUACCCCCAAACAUAUCAAACCCCUCUUAGGCUUCAAAACACCAUGUACAAUCCUAACACUCAGCCUACCCCAAGACCCUAAAAUUGCCCAACUAACCCCAUUGAUGGUUCACGGGAGCAAUGAACUACUCGUGAGAAACUUGUGUUUGACCCAAUUUCAAUGAUUUAUACAAAAUUACAUAAGAAGCUUUACAACAGUCAUUUGAUUGUUCCUAGUAAAUUGGAACCCCUCAAGCCGCCUUACCGUAAGUGGUAGAUCCCACAACCCAUUGUGACUACCAUUAUGGGAUUACUGGUCACUCCACCAAAAAUUACACCACCCUGAAACAUAAAGUGCAAUGUUUGAUCAAGGAUGGAAUGAUUUACUUUGAUACGGGAGGGGUGACUGCACCGAAUGUUAGUGGCAAUCCCUUGUCGAAUCAUAAUGUGAAUGCUUUAAGUGAAGAAUAGGGGCAUCAUUUGAAGAAAGAAGUGACGAAUAUCAAGACACCUCUCAGCCAACUGUUCGAUGUUCUAUGGAGAGCUGACAUGAUACAACUAGUAAGUCCACAUAGCUAUCAUGGAGCAUAUAUAGUCGAUACUAGUUGUAAGUAUCAUAAUAGGGUAAUAGGCCAUUCCAUUGAAACCUAUGAAUAGUUUCACCAAGAGGUGCAAAAACUCUUAGAUUUAUAUCAGAUGGAGGUCUAUGAAAGAAGAGAAGACUUAAAGAGUGUUGAGGUGUCCAUGGCCGAUAAGCCUGCAAAGCUGUUUCUAAAGCCAGUGAUAAUUCAUUGUGGGAACAAGCCAAAGUCAAUCAUAGACAAACUUAUUCCUAGAUCGGUAACUUUUAAAGUUCUAACUCUUUUCUCGUACAAGGAUGAUAAAGCUAUACCCUGGAGAUAUGGUUGUGAUACAGUAGUUCAUGGGUAAGAAGAGGAUGUCUCCAAAGUUGACGCUUUCAAUAUAACUGGUGUAGGAGGUAUUACCCGAAGUGGAAGGUGCUACAGUCCAGAAAUGUUGAAGAAGGUUAGAAAAAAGAAGGCCAAAGAAAGAAAAUGAUGAAACAAUCCUGAAGUAGAACUUGAAGAAGAUCAUCCGAAGUCGGUAUCAGAAAGAGAGAUUUGUGAAUUCCUAAAGCUAGUAAAAUAUAGUGAGUAUUUAGUUGUUGAACAAUUGAAUAAAAUGCCAGCCCGAAUCUCAUUACUAUCACUGCUGCUAAAUUCAGAACCACACCAAAACGCCCUGCUAAAAGUAUUGAACUAGGCAUAUGUGACACAUAAUGUAUCUGUUGAAUAUGUGAACCACCUAGCUGAAAAUAUAGUCAUGCCAAAUCACAUUUUCGUUCAAUGAUGAUGAAAUUUCCUUAAAGGGAAAAAGAAAUGCCAAGGCUUUGCAUAUCACAGUCAAGUGCAAGAGCCAUAUUAUAGUCAAGGUCCUUAUCGAUAAUGGCUCUACUAUCAAUGUCAUGCCUAUGUCAAUUUUGGCGAGGCUACCCAUCGAUUACUCUCAUAUAAAGAAUAGUUAGAUGAUUGUGAGAGCUUUUGAUGGGACCAGAAGAGAAGUCUUAGGGGAUAUCGAGAUGCCUUUACAAAUCAGGCCAUGCACUUUAAUGUGAUGUUUCAAGUAAUGGAUAUCUCUUCAUCAUAUAGCUGUCUAUUAGGAAGGCCAUGGAUCCACAUGAUAGGAGCUGUGCCCUCUACUUUGUACCAAAAGAUCAAGUUUAAUGUAAAAUGUCAAUUAGUAGUGGUAGUUGGGGAGGAAGACAUGCUAGUGACCCAACCAUUGAACACUUCAUAUGUAGAGGCUACCAAAAAAGCAUUGGAAUGCUCCUAUCGAUCUUUUGAAUUGGUUAAUUCUGUAGGUGAAUGAUUUAAAAAUCAACCUUUUUCAAGGAUAGUGAUGAGCUAAGUCAUCAACAAAGGCUGGUAUCCAGGACUAAGGCUGGACAAAAACUUACAGGGAAUAAAGGAACCCCCAACGGUGAUAGACAAUAACAACAAGUUAGGCCUAGGCUAUGAAAUGGCAGAAUGAGAGGUCAAAAGAAGGCCAGCAAAAAAGUCAGCAAGACUAAUGGUUAUCCCACACCUGUAUGAGACUUUCAAACUUAGAGGAUUCAUGUACCCAGAUACAGGAAAAAGUGUGAAAAAUACUUUUAUCUAGUUAACCAUUAAUGCUGUUGAAGAUGAAGUGGGGCUUAAUCAAGAAGAGUGCGUUAGCCUUUGUCCCUCAAAUUAUGAGCUGAAUAAUUGGAGUGCCAUCGAGAUGCCUGUGACUUUUGAGACUAAUACAAUGUAAUUAUAACAUCCCAAUAGCUAUUGCCCAAGGCAUUGGGGUAAUCUUUCUUGUUUGGGCCAUUUAUCUUUUAUUAUUUUUAAUAAAAAAUAGAAAGGAUGCAUUUUCAUUCAUUUCUUCUUGUGUCUUCAUUAUUUCCAUCUUUUCAAGCACAUCUUGCCAACAUAUCUUAUUUCAUUCAAUUUCAGGUCUUUAAAUGAACAUGAAGAUAAUCAUGAUAACAAUCAAGAGAUUAGUUUUGAGAAUUCAAUUAACAUUGAUGAACUUGACAAUGAAGAGAAUUCUGAGGAAUAUGUUAUGCCUCCAGACCUAAUGAGAUUGAUUGAAUAAGAAAAUAAGCCAAUUGAGCCUCAUCAGGAGAUAAUUGACUUAGUGAAUCUGAAAGAUGAAGAGAAUAAGAAAGAUGUCAAAAUCGGCACUUCAUUUUCAUUGAGAGAUAGACAACAAUUGGCAGACCUACUUUAAGAAUUCGUAGAUGUAUUUACUUAGUCUUACCAGGAUAUGCCAGGGCUAAGCACGAAGAUAGUGGAGCAUAGAUUACCGUUAAAGUCAGAAUGUAAGCCAGUUCAGCAAAAAUUGAGACGGAUAAAGCCUGAAAUGCUACUAAAAAUCAAAGAAGAGGUGAAGAAACAAUUUGACGCAGGUUUUCUACAAGUGGCUAAGUAUCCAGAAUGGGUAACCAAUAUAACACCCGUUCUUAAGAAAGAUGAAAAGGUAUGAAUAUGUGUAGACUAUCGGGACUUAAAUAAGGCUAGUCCAAAGGAUAAUUUUUCUUUACCUCAUAUCGAUACACUGGUAGAUAAUAUAGCUAAGCAUUCAAUUUUCUCUUUUAUGGAUGGUUUCUCAGGGUAUAAUCAGAUAAAAAUGGCUGCAGAUAAUAUGGAAAAGACCACUUUCAUGACUAUGUAGAGAACCUUUUGUUAUAAGAUCAUGCCUUUUGGGUUAAAAAAUGCUAAGGCAACAUAUCAAAAGGCCAUGGUAACACUCUUCCAUGACAUGAUGCACAAAGAGAUCGAGGUGUAUGUAGACGAUAUGAUUACAAAGUCUUGUGAAGGUGAAGAUCGUCACUAGCCUCAAAAAGUUAUUUGAAAGAUUAAGAAAAUUUCAGCUCAAAUUAAAUCCAGCCAAAUGCAUCUUUGGGGUAAAGUCAGGGAAGUUACUAGGCUUUGUGGUUAAUGAAAGAGGAAUUGAAAUUGAUCCAGAUAAAAUAUGAGCCAUUCAGAAUAUGUCACCUCCCAGCACACCGAAGGAAGUUCCAGGUUUUCUGAGGAGAUUGAACUAUAUUUCUCGAUUUAUCUCUCAGUUUACUUACAAAUGUGAUCCCAUAUUUAAGCUUCUCUAUAAGAAUAAUCCUGGAAAAUGGAAUGAAGAAUGUCAACAAGCAUUUGAUAAAAUUAAGCAAUACUUGUCAAACCCUCCAGUGUUAGUGCCACAUGUUCCAAAGAAACCUUUAAUUCUGUACUUGACAGUAUGCGAAAAUUCAAUGGAAUGUAUGCUGGGGCAAUAAGAUGAGUCAGCCGAAAAGAGAUAGCUAUUUACUAUCUGAGUAAGAAGUUCACAGAGUAUGAAUCCAAGUAUUCUUUAUUGGAGAAAAUGUAUUGUGCAUUAGCAUGGACCGCCAAAAGACUCAGACAGUAUAUGCUCUAUCAUACCAUAUGGCUCGUAGCAAAACUGGAUCCAAUUAAAUAUAUCUUCGAGAAGCCUUCUUUGUCUGAAAGAAUUGCUAGAUGGCAAGUAAUGCUCUCAGAAUAUGAUAUUAUAUACAUGAGCUAAAAAGUAAUAAAAUGGGGCGCUAUAGCGAAGUUUCUUGCAGAUCGGGCUAUUGAAGAGUAUGAACCAAUGAAGUUGGAAUUCCCUGAUGAAGAUCUAAUGACUAUUUCUCAAUUAGAGAAAGGGGAAAAUGAAGAAAAAUGCUGGAGAAUGUAUUUUGAUAGAGCUGCCAAUGCCUUAGGGCAUGAAAUUGAGGUAAUUCUGAUUUUUCCAGAAGAACAAUACUGCCUUGUAACAGCAAGGUUAAAUUUCAACUACACAAAUAACAUUGCUAAAUAUGAGGCCUGUGUCAUUGGCUUACAAGCUACUAUAGAUAGAAGAGUGAAAUCAUUAAAAGUGUUUGGAGACUUAGCUCUGGUUAUAUAUCAAUUGAAAGGAGAAUGGGAGACGAGAGAUUCAAAACUCGUUUCAUAUCAUAAGUAUAUUCUAUAGUUGACGAAACAAUUUGAAGAUAUCCAGUUUGACCACUUACCUCGAGAAGAGAAUUUGAUUGCUGAUGCAUUGGCUACUCUGGCUGUAAUGAUUUGAAUUAAUGAUAAUACUGAUAUUCAGGCCAUCAACCUAGAUGUUAAGGAUAUACCAGCUUAUUGCUCUAAUGUAGAAAAAGAAAAAGAUGGAAAGCCCUGGUAUUAUGACAUUCUACAGUAUAUUAAGGAUCAGCAAUACCCUGUUCAAGCAACGAAAAAUGAUAAACGGGCCAUCCGAAAAUUGGCUAUGACCUUUUCCCUGAAUGGGGAUGUUCUGUACAAAAAAAGUCAGGAUCAAGUAUUAUUGAGGUGCAUAAGUAAGACUGAAGCGAAGAAAAUUAUUGAAGAGGUGCAUGAUAGAAUAUGUGGGGCACAUACCAGUGGACAUAUGAUGGCGAGACAGAUCAUGAAAGUAAGAUAUUACUGGUUGACGAUGGAGAAUGAUUGCAUUGACUAUGCUCAUAAAUGCUAGAUAUAUGCUGAUAAGAUCCAUACUCUACCAUCUGUUUUGCAUGUUAUGGCACCACCAUGGCCAUUCUCAAUGUGAAGCAUGGAUGUCAUUGGUCCAAUCACCCCAAAGGCUUCUAACGGGCAUAGAUUCAUUUUUGUGAUGAUAGAUUACUUCACAAAAUGGGUAGAGGCAGCAUCAUAUGCAAGUGUAACACGAUCUGUGGUUUGUAAGUUCAUAAAGAGAGAGAUCAUCUGUAGAUAUGAACUUUCAGAAAAAAUUAUUUCAGAUAAUGCCAAGAAUCUAAAUAGUAAGAUAAUGCAAGAAAUAUAUGCUCGAUACAAGAUCAAGCAUCAUAACUCAGUACCAUAUCAUCCGAAAAUGAAUGGGGUAGUUGAGGCAGUCAAUAAGAACAUAAAAAAGAUUCUAAAAAAGGAGAUUAAGACUUAUAAAGAUUGGCAUGAGAAGUUGCCAUUUGCGUUGCAUGCAUAUCGAAUGCCAGUUCGUACCUCUACUGGGGCAACCCCAUUUUCUUUGGUUUAUGAGAUGAAAGCUGUACUACCAGUGGAAGUAGAGAUCCCCUCCCUGAGGGUUCUAAAAGAAGUUGAGUUGGAAGAAGCUGAAUGGAUUCGAGAACGCUAUGAACAGUUAAAUUUCAUAGAAGAAAAGAGAUUGACUGCACUAUGCCAUGGUCAGCUAUAUCAAAGAAGAAUGAUGAAGGCUCAUGAUAAAAAGAUUCGACCUCGUUACUUUCGAGAAGGAGAGUUGGUCUUGAAGAGAAUCCUUCCGAUCCAACACGAUAGUAGAGAAAAAUGGACUCUGAAUUGGGAAGAACCGUAUGUGGUGAAACGGGUUUUUUCGAGUGGAACAUUGAUACUGAUUGAGAUGGAUGGAAAUGAUUUACCCCAUCCUAUAAAUUCUAAUGCUAUGAAAAAAUACUAUGCUUGAAGAAAAAAUGAAAAAAAUGAAAAAAAUGAAAAAAUGAAAAAAGAAAAAAAGUGAAUGAAAAAGGAAGACUCAAGGCGAAAACCCUAAAAGGGCGGUUUGAGUCAUAGGGGGUUUAUCUAGGUUGAAAACCUGAAAAGGCAGCUUAGAUAAGGAGAAUACGGCAUCGAAUUUGAAAAUCCAUUGGCAUGGAGACUAGUAAAUUCGAAAGAACUCCAAGUUGCUAAAUACAUCAGAGGGUUGGAUUUUCAAAAAAAAUCUUGAGAUAUGUUAUCAUGAUUAUCCGAUUGUUUAUUUUGGGCUUUGUCCCCAUACUUAUUCUUGUAAUUCUCCCUUGGCCAAAAUUUGCCAACAUUUUGCUAAUAAAAGACAUUCUAUUUCACUCUUUGUGUCUUUUCUUGUGACUGUUUCUCAACUAUUCUUAUUCUUUUUUUUCUUAAUAUCCUACAAUGGAAGAAAUGGGCAAAUGCAUUCUUACUUUUUGAGUUUGAAAUAAUGACUGAUAAAUGAAUAAUGGCAUGAAAGACUUUUACAUUACAUUGAAGAGGUCCCAAAUGAUAAAAGCAGAAUCGAGAUGUUCAGUUCCUGAUAAGGACAUUGAAUUUGGAAGAAAAUUUUUUAUAGAAAGAAUGCAAGCGGAAGAGGUGAUUGAAAGCUACACUUGCUCGAUCUUAGAAGAAUAACGUAAUCUGAUUUUUGAAAAAUCAAAGGGUUUAGGGCCCAAGAAAAGAGUUUGAGAAGCUUGAGUACCACAACUGAAUAGGAGUUAAUUAGCCAACAUUUGCAUAACAUGCAUUGAAUUUCAUAUACAUUGCAUAGCAUAUACUAUAUAAAUUCAAGAAGUAGGGGUAUUCCAAAAUCUCACAUAGAGGAGAUAGAUGUGAAAACAUUUUCAAAUUUGAGAAAAAGCUUGUCAAGUAAGUUCCUAAUCCUUGAAAUAAGAUGUCUCUUGGUAUCAUGGUUGAUUUAUAAGACCUUUGGGCAUAAUCUCUUGAAAUUCCUUCAAACACAAUUUUUAACUCCUUUGGACAUGAUUGUCAAUGAGCCAUUUACUUUUCAAAAGUCGUUGAGCCUCUGAUUAGAGGAGCCAUUUAUUUUUCCAAAGUCGUUGAGCCUCUAAUUAGAGGAGCCAUUUAUCUUUCCAAAGUCGUUGACGAGCCUCUAAUUAGAGGAGCCAUUUAUUUUUCCAAAGUCAUUGAGCCUCUGAUUAGAGGAGCAUUGUUUAUGUUUUUCAAAAUUGUUGAGCCUCUGCUUAGAGAAGCCUUGAUCAAAUCUUAAACAUAAAAAAAUAAAAAAAAAGGUCGAGUUGAGUUUUGAAUGGGUGUCUACGUCUUUGCGCAAUUUUUGUUUCACAGAAAAUGUGCAAAAAGGGGCAGCUGUAGACACUCAAUUUGGUCCAGGCCCAGAUCAAUUAGGCCUGGUCCAAAUGGGUAAGCCCAUUUUCCUUUUUUAUUUUUGUAUUUUACAUUUUUAUUUUAUUUAUAUAUUUUUAUUAUUUUUAUUAUUAUUAUUAUUUAUAUUUUUUUCUUUUAUUUUUAUCUUAUGUAUUUAUUAUUAUUUUUUUUAUUACUAUUUAUUAAUAUAUAUAUCCUUAUUAUUAUUAUUUUUUUCCUGUUAAUAUUUAUAUAUAUUUAUCUGAUUAUAUAUUAUAAUUUAUCUAUUAUUUAUAAUUUAUCUGUUAAUUUUUUAGUUUAUCUGAUUAUUUAUUUAUUAAUAUUUUUUUAUUAUUUGAUUUUUUUUAUUAUUUUUUUUAUUUCUUUUUUUUCGUCUGAAGAUUGGAUUGGGAUUCAAUCAGAGUCCAUAUUGGAUUCAAUGAUUGAAUCUCGAUCUAAAGAGGAGUUGGGAUUGAUCAGAAACUCUUCUGAUCAAUCUCUAUAAAAAGACCCUUGGAUCAAAGGAAAAAACAUAGAAAAAAGAGUUACUGGCUGAAAAAAAGGCAGAUAGAAGAGAUUUGAAAGCUGAAAAAGGAUUUAGAGGCGUUAGAAUAGCUUUAGGAAUCGGUGGGAAAUUUUUGGAGAUUUUUCUGUGAUUUUUUUUUUUUGAAAAUUUUUUAAAAAUUUUCAGAUUUCGGUUGAAUUUUUUGACGAAGGUUGAAUUUUUCGACAACUAUUUCGGCUAAGUUUGAAGUUUCCGUCUAGCUACCCAGUUUUCGAUAAGAAUUUCCAGAAACCGACCAACUUUUCGAUGAACUUUCGACGAAAAACUCAGAUUCCAACGAAAAUUUUCAAAAUCCGGUGGCCAUUCAACCAGAGUUCUUCGGGUUUUUAGAGAGAAGGGAGAGAAGAGAAAGGAAAAGAGAGAGAGAGGGAAGAAGGCUUCUGCUGAAGAAACGAAGGAAUCAGCCUUAUAUACACUCUUAAAACGACGUCAUUUCUGCGUUAAAUAACUCAGAGGAUCCAUGCGUUUUACCAAGAUCCGACCCGACCCGAGCAUCAACCCGCUUUCGACACGCGUGUGACCCGCGUCUCAAGUCGUUAGCCGAGCUGACACCCUGAGCCGCGUCUCCGAGCCAUUUUUUCUUCCUUAAGUCGAGCCGAACCGCAAGCCGAGCCGUUCUCAGGUUUUUUUUUUCUUUUUUUUAUUUUAUUUUAUUUAUUUAUUAUUAUUACAUCAGAAUUGUUUAACAUUUUUAUUAUUUAUUUUUUUUUAUUUAUUUUCAUUUUUAUUCUUUUUAUUUUAUUUUAUCAUUUUAUUAUUUUUUUUUAAUAAAAUUAUUUUUGAGAAAAAGUUGAAAGUAUCAAUUUUCCUUAAAAAUAAAUUUUCAAAAAAAAAAGAGGUUUUGAGGAAAAGUUGAAAGUAUCAAUUUUUUCUUGUACAAAAAUAAUCAUUUUUUCUUUUGUAUUUCCUUUGAAUUUUUUUUAAUGUUAAAUAAUCCGACGAUGGAGCUUCUGCAAGUGAAACAGUAGUUUACUUGCAUACUCUUGAAGGUGAGGAGAUUUUUUCAAUUUUUUGCUAAAAGUAUUAGAGUCAAUUAAGAAUAAUUUUCAAUAGUUAAUUACUUUGUAAAAUUUUAAGGCUUAUUGGAUAACACAAAAUUAAGCUGGUACCAUCUUUUGAUGGGCGUUGUGAGGGUGCUAUAACUUUUCUCACACGUAACCGAACUCCCGAACCCUGUUCUGGUUAGUAGAUCUGAACAUAUUCUUUUAGGGACCCUUAAACUUAGGUGUUCCCUAAAAAGAUAAAUUCCUUAGGUGGCCAAUCGCACCUAGAUAAAAAAAGAUUGGUGACGACUCCUUAAGUUAAUGUCUAGCGAUCGAUCCCCGGAUCUAAACGUUAUGACACUCACACAAUUCAAUUUACCAACUAUAUAUAAAUAUAUAUUAAUCUUUUAUUCAUACGUUGCGCAAGACCAAUUCAAUUGUUGAUAUACUUGCCAAAUCUAGAAAUUAUCGGUCCAAUGAUCUUGUAAUUAACUUGAUUGUGACGGCCUUUAAUCUUUCAAUUUUUUCUAUUGUUACCUUUUGUUCCAAUUUUUAUUAAAUAAAUCUAUCAUUGCCUUUCGAAAAAUAUACAUUAAUCUCUCAUUAAGCAGUAAGGUGUGGUUAAUUAUAAAGAAUACUACCAUCUUUCAUUGCAAUUGAUGACGAUCACCUUAUUGCUAAGGCUAGAUACAUGUAGUUGGUCAAAACGAAGGUUACCAAAAAUUUUGAAGAGGGCUAACAUCUAAUAAUCUCAUAAAGCCUUCAAGAGCAAUUAUAAUUCAGGAUAAAAAUUUUUAACUCAGCAAUUAUUGAAAAUCCUUUAUAUACAUUGACCCUGAACAAAAUACCAGCAACUAUUUUUGAAAAAAAAAAAAAGACAAAAAUUUCAGAGCACAUUAUGAAUGGAGAGAAAACUUUUGAAAAUGUGACCAGGGAUGGAUUUAAGAUUCAUGUUCAAUGGAAUCAACAAAUAUAGAUAAUAUUAAAUAUAAAAAUAUAAAUUAACUCAAAUGUAUAAAAAAUUAUUUUGUUUAUAUAUAAAGAUAACAUAUUAUAAUUAUUUUUUAUGGGUUUCUUAUUGUGAAAAUAAACUUUUUAAACAUUAUGUCUUUCAUUAGGAUGAUAGUCUAAAAUCAUUUUUUAUAACUCUGGAUCCAAUGAAAAUCUUCUAGAUCUAAUUAAACAUGAAUUUAUUUUACAAAAUGUUGUUGUCACUAUUAUUGAUUUUGGAUGAUUCUUUCGAAAUUGACUUUCGUUUAAUAAGAUAUUUCUACAAAUCUAAUUAAAUUAGAUAAUUUAGUUUAUAUAAUUUCUAAAAAAUAAGAAGAUAAUGUUGUAGUUUGUAUUAGAUAUUGAACUGUAAUUAUGCAAACCAAAUCAACAUGCAUAUUUUAUUAUGUAUUUUGAAUUUUAAUUAAAUACUAUAAUUUUAUAUAUAAAAAAUAAUUUCAUAAAAAUUAAAUUAUUUCAUUGAUCAACUUACAAAAGUACAAUAUUCUUCUAUAUUAAUCCACUUAUAAUAUAAAUAUAAAUAAAUCAUAAAUUAAGCACCAAAUCAAAUUAUUUUAUCAAUAUAAAAAAAAUUAUAUAGUAAACAAAUAUUUUGUCACAUAAACAAAUUAUAAUAAAUACAAAAAAAAAUUCCAAAAAAAGUAAUUACUUACUUAAAUAUAUUGAUGGAAGAAAAAAAUGUUCACUGCUUAAUUUGUUUUUUUGGUUUAUUGACUUUUCUUUAUCCUCUUGUUGUUUCUCUACUUCUAUUCUCUAUAUACUGUACUUUUUAUGUGUUUGGACCAAUAAAAAAAUUAUAGGUGGAAUAGAAAGAAGAUCACUUUUUAUUAAAUGUUGAUCCUUGAAUAAAAAAUUAUUUAUAAACAUUUAUUCUAUUUAUAUUUAUACAUAUGACCCUAUUAUUUUUGUAAAAUAAAUCAUUUAUAUUGUAAUUAUAAUUUUGUUCUUUCGAACAUUUAUAAAAGUGUUAUAUUUUUUUUUCAUUUUUUGUGGGGAUAAAUUAUAAAAGAAUUAAAAUUUUUAAAGAUUUUGUAAUAAUUUCUAAGGAUAUUAGGAUCUCAGUGGGGGCAACUGCUCCCCCUGCCCCCAUUGUAGAUCCACCCUUGGAUGUGGCUAAUUAUACAAUACUACUAUUUGAAAAUUAGAAAAUGUAAAUCAAUCUUUGUAAGUUUAUUGAUCAGCGAUAAUUGAUAUCUUAUUACAAUUAAUUUGUCACAUUUAUAAUUUCUUCAAGAAAAAAAUUGGUCACAUAAUGUAAACAAAUGUAUUAUGUAGUAUAAAAUCUAAGUGUAGAGACCAACUCAAGUCUAAUUUAAUAUUAUUGUUGAAAAUAACUUUUGCUUUCAUAAGCUAUUUUUUAUCCAGCCUCAUUGCUAAACAGCAAAAAAUAAAUGCGACUUUUUAGUUUAAAAGUCUGGUUUUACAACCCAAACAAGAAAGCUACUUAAAAAGUAAUUUUUACCGUGAAAAAGUGUUUUGGGAUAGAAAAUUACUAUAUUACCUUAUAUUUAUAAUAUUUUUAUUAUUUUAUACAUAUUUUUUUUAGACAUUUUAAUUACUCACCGUUUUUUUCUUAAUAAUAAUAAACAUUUGAAAUUCUUAACCAUAUUUUUUCUAUCACACUUUUUAAAUAUAUUUUUUUAAUCACAACAACAAUGAUAAACCAGCUCUUAGUCUUACUCUUUUGAAUGCUAAUAAAAAUUUAAAUUCUACUUGUUGUCUAGCUAUGGAUGUGGAUUCAAAUGUUCUAAAUCAAGAAUCAAGAGACUGGAAUUUGAAAAUCCAAAUUCAAAAUGGGUUAAGGAAUUAAUAUUAUAAACUUUGAGUGGAGUACUUUUUCUUCCAAGGCCAUCUAAGGGAGAGGUUAGAUUAUUAGUGGAGUUUUUAGAUUUCACAAGUAAAAAUAGCGUGGAUUGAAAUUAAGAGUUGAUGAUUAUUGGGUUGGUGGUAAAGGGCUGUCCAUUCCUGUAUAAUUAUGCUUGUUCGAAAAAUGGGGUCCAGCCUCAUGUAAGUGAUUUUGGACCAAGUAAAGGCCAUGCGCCUUGAUCUUUCAUUUUACACAGAGCCCUAGCUACUUAAUAAAAAAAGAGGUGGGGUUACUUUAAGUGUGUGUCGAAAACUAAGUAGAGAAAAAAGAAAAGCUAAAAAAAGCAGAGAGAAAAAAGAGAAGGAAGAGUUGGUUGAACGAAAUUCGAUCCAUGGUCCGAUUGAGUUGGAAUCUUGUCAGGAGGUUUAUGAUUCAGAGUUCUACAUUCUGAACGGUGAAGAUCGGGUUUGAAGCUCUCUAGGAACAAAUCUAAGGUGUAUUUGUUGAGUCACUUAUUUGGUGAGAUUUCUUCAAUUAUUUCUCUAGUUGUUGAUUAGCUCUAGUUUUAGCUAGAGAAGAACUUUGUAUACCUAUUAUUUAAUAGUGAAGAUUUUUCUGGUGGUUCGUGAUUUUUUUUUCCUCUACACUGGAGGGUUUUUCAAGUAAAUCUUGGUGUGCUUUAUUUUUUUGUGUUGUUUUUUAUUAUUGAUUGUUGUCUAUUGCUUCUGUAUUAUUGUGAUUAUUGCUUCAGGCACAACAAGUGAUAUCAGAGCGAGGAUUAUUUUUAGACAUCAAUACAGAAGCAACCCAAGAUAAAAGUAAAUUCUGUUUGAGAUCAUGAAGAGUUAUACAUGUUCUAUGAUAAAAUUGACAGCAUCGAAUUAUUUAAUUUGAAAGCCUAUGAUGGAUGAUCAUCUAUACUGCAAAGAUUUGUAUGAGCCAGUAUUGGGUGAUUUGGUUAAACCAGCAGAUAUGAAAGAUGAAAGCUGAAAGAAGCUAGGUAGAAAGACGUUGGCUACAAUCAAAAAAUGGGUUGAUAUCAGCGUGUUUCAUGAUGUAGCGCAGGAGUCAGAUGCUCACAUUGUUUGAAAAAAAUUGACAGCAUUGUAUGAGAGAAAAACAGGUAUGAAUAAAGUUAUGCUUGUUAAAAAGCUUGCAACUUUACAGUACAGGGAUGGACGAUCUGUUACAGAGUACUUGAGUGAUUUUCAAUAUAUUUAAUCGGAUGACUACUAUGGAGCUUAAGAUGGAUGAUGAAAUGAAAGCAUUAUUUCUUUUGGGUUCAUUAUCAGACAACUGAAAUACUCUAGUUGUGACUUUCUUAAUUCAGCUCCUGAUUAUAUGGUGACAUUGGAAAUGGUAAAGGAUAGUAUGCUUAAUGAAGAAGCAAGGUGAAAAGAUGUAGACCCUGAAAAUCAAGCUCUGGUCACAGAGAACAGAGGUAGAAACAUCAACAGAGGUCAGGACUCAAAUGGCCAUGGUAAGUCUAAACAUAGAUCCAAGUCUAGAGGUAAAGUGAAGUGUUUCUAUUGUGGUAAGGCAAGUCAUAUAAAACGAACUAUAAAAUCUUGAAGCAAGAGCGAAAAGAUGAGAAAGGUAAAAGUUCAGAUGAUGGUAAUGUUAUAGCAGUGAAUUCAGAUAGUGAUUCAGUUACUUUGAUUUGUACACAUAGUGAUUGUAAUCAUGUUAGUGAUCCCGACAUUAAGUGGAUAGUUGACACAGGAGCGACAUAUCAUUGUGUUCCUAAGAGAGAGUUGUUUACAAUUUACAAAGCAGGAGACUUUGGUUGUACCAAGAUGAAAAACAAAAAUGUGUCGCAGAUUGUUGGGAUUGAUGAUAUUAUUGUACAAACUAGUAUAGGUUGCAUGUUGACUUUGAGGGAUGUCAGACACAUUUCAGAUAUGAGAAUGAACUUGCUUGCUAUUAAUGUCCUUGAUAAUGAGGGAUAUGAAAACGAUAAAAAAAUGGACAGUGAAAGCUUCUUAAAAGAUCUAUGGUAGUUAUAAGAGGAAAACUAUGAUGCACAAUGUAUAAAACAUGAAUGCAAUUGAAUGGUAACCAAGUAAAUACCGUUGAAAAUGAUGCUUCAGUAAACUUGUGACACAGGAGACUGGCAUAUAUGAGUGAAAAAGGGUUACAGGUUUUGGCAAGACAGUCUCUUAUUCCCUUGACCAAAGGUAUGUCUCUCGAUUCAUGUGAUUAUUAUUUGUUUGAUAAGCAUCAUAGAGUUUUUUUUCGUAAAAGUUCUCAGAGAAAAGAAAAUAGAUUGGAAUUAAUUUAUUCUGACAUAUGUAGUCCCGUUGAAGUUGAGUCAUUAGGUGGUAGCAGAUAUUUUGUUACUUUUAUUGAUGAUGCUUCACCUAAGACUUGGGUGUAUAUGUUAAAAAAUAAAAGUCAGGUACUACAAUAUUUUUACAAAUUCCAUGCCAUGGUUGAAAGGAUGACAGGGUUACUCUUGAAGUGUAUUCGAACUAAUAAUAGUGGAGAAUACACAUCUAAAGGCUUUGAAAAAUAUUGCUCAAAGCAUGGGAUCAGGCAUAAGAUAACAGAACCUGAAAUACCGUAGCAUAAUGGUAUAGCUAAAAGAAUGAAUCUUAUAAUUGUGAAAAAAAUCAGAUGUAUGUUGAGGAUGAAAAAAUUACCAAAGUCAUUCUGGGGUGAAGCAGUCAACACGACUGUUAUUUACUUAACAGAUCACCAUCAGUUCCUUUGGGCUUUGACAUUCCAAAAAGAGUGUAGACAGGAAAAGAUACUUCAUACUCUCACUUGAAAGUUUUUAGGUGUAAAGCAUUCAUGCAUGUGUCGAAAGAGUAGAGAUCAAAGCUUGACAGUAAAGCCACACAGUGUGUGUUUAUAGGAUAUGGUGAUGAGAAAUUUGGUUACAGGGUAUGGGAUCCAGUAAAGAAAAAGAUAGUCAGAAGUAGAGAUGUGGUCUUUCAUAAAAAAAAAAAAAAAAACAUAGCAAAUCUUAAAAAAAAAUGAGAAGACUACACGAAUUAUUGUUGAGUGUGAUAUUUCAACACCGAUAGAGAUUUCACAGGAAAGAGCCAUAGAUGGUGGAAAUGAGCAAGAAAUAAAACUUGGGAUAUGAAUGAGCCAGCCACAGUUGGUAAUGAGCCAGAUGCAAUUAGUUUUGAGCAGGGAGAGCAAUCCUCUCUACCUGAAAGUGUUGAACAGGGGGAGCUACCUUUGGCAUCAAGUGAUGUAUAGUCUCAGCCCAGGAGAUCUACUAGAGAGCGUAAGUUAUGUACCAGGUAUCCAAGUUCAGAUUUUAUUUUAGUUACCAGUGAAAGGGAGUCAGAAAGUUUUCAAGAUGUGUAGGCUACUCCAGAUAGAGAGCACUGGUUAAAAGCAAUGAAAGAAGAGAUGGAGUCAUUGCGAAAGAAUGGUACUAUGAUCUUGUUAAACUUUCAACAGGGAAGAGGCCAUUAAAGAAUAAAUGGGUGUUCAAGUUGAAAAAAGAUGAUGAUAAACUAGUGAGGUACAAAGCUCGAUUGGUAGUAAAAAGUUUUUCUCAAAAAUCAGGCAUCGAUUUUGAUGAGAUUUUUGCUCCAGUUGUAAAGAUGAGUUCUAUUCUAGUGGUACUGAGAUUAGCAGUUAGUUUGAAUCUUAAGCUUGAGCAACUUGAUGUUAAAAUUACAUUUUUGCAUGGUGAUUUACAGGAGGACAUUUAUAUAAAUCAGCCUAAGGGUUUUAAAGUGAAAGAGAAAGAGCACUUAGUUUGCAAAUUAAAGAAAAGCUUGUAUGACUUGAAACAAGCUCCGCAACAGUGGUACAAGAAGUUUGAUUCUUUUAUAGUGAGUCAUAGCUAUAAAAAAAUAGCAGCGGAUUCUUGUAUGUAUGUUAAACAAUUCCCUAAUGGUAACUUCAUUAUCCUAUUAUUAUAUGUUGAUGAUAUGUUGAUUGUAAGACAAGAUGCUAGUAUAGUUUACAGGUUGAAAGAACAAUUGUCUAAGUCCUUUGAUAUGAAGGAUUUAGGUCCAGCAAAGCAGAUUCUUGGUAUGGACAUUAUCUGAGAUAGAAGAGCUGAAAAGCUGUGGUUGUCACAGGAAAAGUAUGUUGAACGAGUGCUUGGUAGAUUCAACAUACAACAUGCUAAAUCAAUUAGCAGUCCACUUGUCAACCAUUUUCAUCUAAGUAAGAAAUCUUGUCUAGUGUCUAAAGAAGAGCAACUAGUUAUGUAUAGUACUCCUUAUUCUUCUGCAGUCGGUUCUUUAAUGUAUCUUAUGAUUUGUACAAGGCUUGACAUUGCUCAUACAGUUGGUGUAGUGAGCAGAUUUUUUUCUAAUCCGAGAAAGGUUCACUGAGAAGCAGUGAAAUGGAUUUUUAUAUAUUUGAGGGGUACCUCAAAAAUGUCCUUGACUUAUAGAGUUUCACAACCAAUUCUAGAAGGGUUUACUAAUGUUGACAUAGCAGGCAAUCUUGAUGGUAGAAAAUCUACUUCAGGGUAUUUAUUCACUUUUGUAAGAGGAGCUAUAUCUUGGCAAUCUAAGUUGCAGAAGUGUGUUGCUUUGUCAACUACAGAGGCUGAGUAUAUUGUAGUAAUCGAAGUAUGUAAAGAAAUGCUUUAGAUGAAACAUUUUCUUCUUGAAUUGGGGUUGAAUCAGAAAGAGUAUGUGGUAUUUUGUGAUAGCCAAAGUGCUUUAGAUUUGAGUAAAAAUACCAUGUACCAUGCUAGAACAAAGCACAUUAAUGUUAGAUAUCAUUGGUUACGUUCAGUGAUUGAAGAAUAGCAGAUGCUAUUGAAGAAAGUCCAUACUGAUAAGAAUGUAGCAGAUAUGUUGACUAAGAUACUUCUCAGGGAAAAGCUUGAGCUUUGCAGUAACUUGGACAGAAUGAGUUCCCUGGCCAAGGUAAGUUUCAAAUGAAACUGCUAUGGUGAUGAAUCUCCUCCUAAUGGGGCUGAAGGGGGAGAUUGUUAAAAAAAUGGGGUCCAGCCUCGUGUAAGUGGUUUUGGAUCAAGUAAAGGCCAUGGGCCUUGAUCUUUCAUUUUACACAGAGCCCUAGCUACUUAAUAAAAAAAAGAUGGGGUUACUUUAAGUGUGUGUCGAAAACUAAGUAGAGAAAGAAGAAAAGCCAGAAAAAGCAGAGAGAAAAAUGAGAAAGGAGAGUUGGUUGAACGGAAGUCGAUCCAUGGUCCGAUUGAGAUGGAACCUUGUCAGGAGGUUUAUGAUUCAAAGUUCUACAUUCUGAACGGUGAAGAUCGGGUUUAAAGCUCUCUAGGAACAAAUCCAAGGUAUAUUUGUUGAGUCACUUAUUUGGUGAGAUUUCUCCAAUUGUUUCUCUAGUUGUUGAUUAGCUCUAGUUUUAGCUAGAGAAGAACUUUGUAUACCUAUUAUUUGAUAGUGAAGAUUUUUUUGGUAGUCCGUGAUUUUUUUUUCCUUUACACUGAAGGAUUUUUCACGUAAAUCUUGAUAUGCUUUAUUUUUCCUGUAUUUUUUAUUAUUGAUUAUUAUCUAUUGCUUUUGUAUUAUUGUGAUUAUUGCUUCAGGCGCAACAAUGCUCGAGGAUAUUAGCUACUUUUAUUCUUGUUUCCGUUGAGUGUAGCAGCAGGGAAGGGAGCUUAGUUUCGUGUGUUAUCUGUUCUUUAUUUUAAAGAUUCCGUCACCCUUUUGUUUCGUUUUGGGUGAGUGUUCGGAGUUCUACAUCCGGUGGUUUGUAUCACCAACUCCAUAUGAAUAAAACUUUGACCUUGCAAAAAAAAAAAAAAAACACAUAUUUCUAAGAUAUAUUAAAAAAUGAGACAAUUUUUUAACCUUAUUAAUGGACCAGAAUUUAAAAAAUUACGCUAUCAGUAUGCGAAAACAACCUCUUUAUGUAAUAUACAUUCCUUUAUUGUUGUUUUUAGUACAAAGAUAAAUACCACAAACCCCCGGCCACAUCACUGGCAACCCUGAGCCCGGCAAAGUGACAAUUUAUUUAUUGAUACUUGAAAAGCCUAUUACAUUUAUUUUUAGACAUAUAUAUAUAUAUAUAAUAGCUUUUGGUCCUUAAAUAUUUCCUGAUCACUUUCUUGAAUUUUUUUGUUCUUUUAGUCUUCAGUGAUUGCCUCAUAUAUCCCUUUAGCAGCUUUAUCAGCUAGAACAUCCGUUAAACCAAAUCCGAAAACCGUUCCAGCAAAUUGAUUGCUCAUUGCAUCCCCCACUUUACAUCGUGUUGCAAAGUCCUCACAAUUGUUAAAUAAAAAGUUUUAUUUCUUUCCGAAGUUUUGGUCUUUGAGGUAACCAAAUGCUGUCUUCAAAACCUGAUCCACCGGCCUGCUGGGGUUAAACACUGCAAGUUCCGCUCCUCUUGAAACACAACUUCAAGUAAGGGACAUUAUAUUCAUAGAAUAGAGUGACUGACCUUCCAGGAAGCACUCGAGGCAGGUUAUAACAAGUCCUAUUCUUUGAGAGCACUGACCACAUCUUUUGCAUGGGGGGUUACUGGUGGAUUUGCCAACUCCCAGGAAGUGAAUAACCGCAUCGUCUAUUUCUUUUUCUUCGUUUCUCGAGUUGGUCACAGUCGCUUUCCCUACGUAUAUGCCUGCAGCCAUGAAAUUAGGGAACCUUAUGUCUAUAUAUAUGUUUAGGAACAUUUCGUGAUUUUAGAAAAUGUGCUAUGAACUUUGAUUUUAGGCAAUAAAUUUAGAUUCUUUGCUUACACAACAGAAAAUUUAGAUACAAACACAUGCCGAAAAUUAAUAUGGUUUGGCCCUCAUGGCCUAUUGCAUCCAUAGAAUCGUUAAAUUUUAGACGAACAUCUAACUUAAAAUCAAUUUGGAUAAAUGAGAUUAUCUUUCCCAUACUCAAUUGUACACAUAGUUUUCACCCAAACAGGGUUGAGGAAUGAAUAUAUAAUAUAUGGUUGGGAUUUGAUUACAAAUUAUUAGUUGUUUGAAAAUGAAAUCAAGGUCCAUCUAGCAGUUGCCGCAAACAUUCAAGUUGGACCACACUACUUGGUUCUUCCUCCCCAUGUGAAAAAGAAAAAAAGAAACGGAAACUGAGAAAAAAAAUUAAUUACAUGGAUAGAAGACUAUACCAUGGUGAAAAUAGAGGUAUAGACAGCAAUCAGAAUAGAUGUGGUCACCAGGCCUGAGGGAAUCGCGUCUCACUGGCAUCUUAGUUUCUCUUUUCUUUUGGGUUGAGCUUAAGUUGGCUACUUCGUAAUAAUCCCAGCUCAUUUAUAGAUGGAAAUGAUAUCCAAAGCGGCUGAGAAGUAACGAAGAAUCAUAAAAAGGUAGCAACCCAACACAAUAUUGUAGAAAAGAAUCCUUUUUUUUUGUUGUAGUAUCAAUUAGUUGUGAAGAGGGGCUGAUCAACCCUUUGAGGUAGAGUGUUUAUGGAUACUCUUAAAAAUUGAAAAAUAAAAAAAAUUUGAAAACAAAGAUUCUCUGAUACCCCAAAAUUUAGUUCUAAAAAUUCUUUUUAUUGAAAAAAUUAGUAAAUCCAUCAAACAGUUUUUAUACAUGUCAUAAGCAUACACUUUUAGAAAAAAAAAUUCUAGAUUCGUCAAUGAUGGUAGGAUCGAUGCCCCGUCCAUUGGGUGUAUACAUUCACUCAAAUUCCCAUUCUUUCGCAAAGCUUUUUCUUUUUUAGGGAGAAACCCAGAGGGAGGAUUAGGGAAUCAAACAAAUUAAGUAAUUAAGAAGAAAAUGUUAUUAUCUUAAGAAGCGGUCGACCGACUAUUAGUGGUACAAUGAAUUUCAUAUUUCGUGUGAAUUCUUAACUUAUUUCUUAAUUCAAAUGGUUCAACCACAUCUUUCGAGAACUAAAUUCACACAAUUAUAAUUUAAAAUGCAACACCCGCAAAUUCUCUUUUUUUAAUUAUUCUUUAGGCUUUGAUCUCUUUUUUAUUAAAAAAAUAAAAGUAUGCAUUUACUUUUAAAUCAUUAUUGAAAAAAAAAAAGUAAUUUGUAUAACCCUUUUGACGCUCUUAAUCAAUAUUGAAGAAAGUUUGAGUUCAAGACGAUGGAAGGUAAGAGGUCCAAACCUCUUCAAACGUGUUCCACGCAUUCACUUUUAAUCUUCAAGUUCGAGUUGUCUAUUUUCUACUUUGGAAUUGAUACUUUAUUAUUAGCCAUAGAUAUAUAGAACCCAAGUCGAAAGUGGAGAUCAUCAAAUAAAGAUAAGACGGAAAAAGGUUCGAAUGCCAGAUAAAAACUUGGUUUCAAGAAUCACUAUAUAAAUCUAUAAUUUUAGUGGUGUACGUGACGCCUUAUAAUUUUAGUGCAUGUAUUCUACAUGAAACAAUUAUCCUAUAUAUAUGGCGUUGGAAUUAAUGCUUGCAGAUGCUUAGUUUAGUGAAGUCAUUAUCAGUCCCAAUUAACUUUCUUGUCUGCCCAAUAUAUGCUUGCUGUUCGUCAUUGGCAAAUUCUACAUGAGGCCUUAUCGCACAAAUCAAGAAUCUAACCCGAAUUAAACAAUUAUAAUCAGAGGUAAGGAAGAUGGACAUAGAAUUAAAGAAAUUUCAAAAAUAUUGUACUGGCUCAACCCUCCGGUUAGGCUACUGCAUAUGACAAAAUCUAAUAUGUUUAGCUUGUUAUUGUAGACAAUCUUUUGUGUCCGGACCCAUUGAGGUCCGGCUCAAUUGGACCCAUCAAUGUUCGGGCCCAGUUGGCCCAUUUGAGUCCGGACCUAAGUGGAUAGCUUAUUUAUUAUUACUAUUAUUAUUACUUUUAUUUUUUUCUUGUUUCCUUUUUCUAUUUUCCUGUUUUACUUUUUUUUUUUAUUUCAAUCCACACGUACACAGAGUGAAUCAUGAUUAGGAUCCCUUGGUCAAAUUCAAUCAAUAAUUGCUAGAAUUUUGGACCUAAAAUCUUAUCUAGACAAAAUGCAAUCUCAGGAUUCAAGCUUGGGAUUAAUUUUGUCCGUUUCCUAAAAUUAUUGUUAAGACUGCCUAUAAAUUAGACUAACUUCUACAGAAGGAACACACAAAAGCACAAAAAAUUUGGAAAGAACUGUGAAAAAAUUUUGGAAAAUACUAGGCAAAAAGGGUUCUAACAGUUCAAUUUUGGGUUCUAGAGUUCAAUUUGGAAUUGUAGGAUCGGUUUUAGGUUUCUGGAUUAGGAUUAGGAUUAGGGCUUAAGACGAUUCUGGGAGUAAUCUGGACAAAAUUUGGAGAAAUUUGAAAAAAAUUUGAAGAAAUCUAGGUUUUCUGAGUUUUUUUGGGUUUUUAGGGAAGAACAUGAAUUUUUUGAUAAAUUUUUCGAUGAGCGUUUGAAGUUUCCGAUAAGAUUCCGAUGAGAUUCUAGAAUCCAACUAGAUUUCCAGAAAUUGGUAGGUUCCGGUUGAAUUUUCUAACAACUUUUUUAGAAACUAGUGAAAUUUCAAUCCCCGAUUGAAGUUUUCGGUGGGCAGCUCUAGAGAGAAGACAGAAAAAAGUUAGAGUAGAGACAGAAGGAACGAAAGGCUUCUGAAGAAAAACGCUGAAGCUUAGCUUUUAUAUGGCAACUAAACGAUGUCAUUUCGGAUAAGCUAGGAUCUGCGCGUAGACCCCGUGACCUACGUGUUGACCCACACCUUGACCGACCCAAUCGCAGUUUUUCUUUUUUUUCAUUUUAUUUUUAUUUUUUGAUUUUAUUUAUUUUUUUUACCUAUUUUCCUAUUUUCUAGUUUUUAAAAAAACAAAACAAAACAAAAGUUACUUUUGUCACCUUUAUUUCCAAAAGAAAAAGAAAAAAUUAAAAAAGAAAAAAUCAAGUAAAAAAAAGAAAAAAAUAAUGCUAAAAAAAAGAAAAAAUGAUACAUAAAUAAAUAAAUAAAUAAAAUCAUUUCAAUAAAAAAAUAUAUAUUUUUAAAUAAACAAAAAUAAUUUUCAUCAUCUAAACUAUUGGAUGAUUGCUUUGAAAUGAGUCUUACCAAACUAUUGGGAGGCUGCACUAAUUCUUUUAAAUAAAAGUUAAUAAAUCCGACAACAAAGCCUUUUCAGAGAGAAACACUAGUCUCCAUGAAUACCUCUGAGAAGAUUGAAUUAUCUUAAAUUACUACCAAACUAUUGGGACAAUUUUAAAGUUAAUUUUUAAUAUUAAAUUAUUUGAUAAAUCAUCAAAAUGAUCAAGGCUUAAAUAAUUUGAAAUCAAACUGGUAUCAUCAUUUGAAUAGGCAUUGUAGGGAUACUACAACCUUCUCUAUGCGUAACCGACUCCCGAACCUAACAUCUGUUUUACAGAUUGGAUUCAAUCAGGUGGCCAAUCACACCUAGACAAAAAAGAUUGGUGACGAUCCAUGUCUAACGGUAAGUCCACGGAUCUAUAUGUCGUGAUAGUUUGACGACUCCGCUAAAGACAAUUGAGAGUCAAGCCAGUAAAUAAUUUCUUAUUAUCCAAGCCUUGCUUAAUAAGUUCGAAAUUAUUUUAUGCCUUCUUAUUGCUUAUAUCGACUUUAUUAUUUGUUUUCCUUGUGUAUACCUACUUAUUUAUUUACUUGAUUAUUUAAUUAUUAUAUAUACAUGUCAUGCAUUUGCAUAACAUAAACCCUCCACCCAACCUCCACCUUUAGGAAAAAGUAAAGUACCUAUACCCUCGUGAGAUUUCAUGUCUCCAUAUGGGCCUACAAAAUACUCCCACUCAGAUUGAGCCCUUUCUACUUAUAGCCUAUAAUGGGUGAGGAUUGACAUGCCUUACUAGUCUGUAAUAGAUAGUGAUAUAGGGAACAAGUUGAGGGCCUUUUAGAAUUAACCCAAACCGUAUAUAGUCAACCUUAAAAACCCAACCAUAGAUAGAGCCUUGUCUUCUCACCCUUUGUAAAAUCCAAAAUUCUAGGUCAUAUUGUUGUCUUAAUUGCUAUGUUUACUAUAUGAAAUAAUUAACUAACCUUUUUGUCUUCUUUAUUUCAUUUCUUCCACAUUCAUGAACAUUUUCACAAAUUGCAUAAUAUUUUUACCUCAAAGCUAUUUCAACAAAAACCCUCAUGGAUUACAUAGAACUUCAAGUUUGUGCAUCAUCUAUGUUGUUCAAAUGUGACUCUCCUAUAAAGGUGAGGAUGGAAUUAAAAAAGAGAUAGCUAGAAUAAAAAGACUAUUUGCCACUUGGUCAUGUCCCUACGCUAUCAAGAGAAGUUUGCCUAUUCCUCAAACAUAAUGAUCUAAAAUGCCUAUUAGAUAUGUGGAAUGGUAUGACCCCUUCAAGGUAGGAAGCUUUUUGUGAUAAGUUUAGGCACAUUGCAUAUCUCAUGUCAAUGGAGAUUGACUACUCACUUAUCAGGAUGAUGGUACAAUUUUUGGAUCCUUCCUACCGAUGUUUCAUUUUUAAUGAGGUUAAUCUAGUACCAACAAUAUAAGAGUAUUCAACUCUGGUGGGUAUGUAUCUAUUAUAUCCAGACAGAAUAUACAUGAAGAAACACAAAUCAGGAAGUUGCAAAAAGCUGGGUCAAAUGCUAGGAGUGGGAAAAAAGACUAUAGAUUCAUACAUUCGAGAGAAAGGAGAUCACAAGGGUAUUUCAUGAGAGGUUCUCCAGGAUUUCAUUAUCAAGCAUCCAGAUGAUGAUCAGGGAAUGAAUGCAUUUGCUUUAAUCAUAUAUGGGUUGGUCAUUUUUCCUAAGGUCUUAGGACACAUUGAGAUAGAAGUGGUGGAUCUAUUUGAGCAGAUUGAAAAGGGGUGUAAUCCUUCACCAGCUAUCUUGACAGAAACUAUCAAAUCUCUAAAUUUUUGUAAGCAGAUGGACAGAGCACGUUUCACGGGCUGUUUACCCUUAUUAUAUGUAUGGAUCAAAAGUCAUUUUGAAUGCAAGAAAAGUGCUUUUACCAAACUUUAUUUCUACACUUGAAAUCCGAUUAGAGAAUUUUGCCAGAGCACCUGACCAGAAGCAAAGACUCGAAAGGAAUGGAAAUAUCUACUACAAAGGCUCACGACUGGUCAGGUAAAAUGGUUAGCUCUAUGGAUGAAUAGGAAACCUAUGUUGUAUCAAUGUGAAUAUGAGACAGGGGUUCCACUUUUAAACCUAUGAAGGUCAACAAGUUAUGCACCAUUGAUGGUAAGGAGACAGCAUAAAACUAAACAAUUUACUCUUAUGACCUGUAAGCUUGGUCAGUUUGACUACUCAUAUGGGGAGCCCAAAACUUACAUGAUUAAAACCUGAAAGAAGCCCAAGAGAGUAAGCCUAGGGCCAUUCACUAAUCGAGUCACUCAGGGGUAUCUAAUUUGGAGAAAUAAAAGGGGUCAGGAGAUUACAUCUAUACCUCAGGAUCAUCACUUAUUAGUGGGCCAAAAGUCGGACAAUAAGCUUUUUAAGUUAGAGCAUGAAAUGAAAAAGAAGAAACUAAAGUAAGAAAUUUUGAAACUACAAAAAGAAAAUGACCAAAGGUAGAACAAAGCAAAAAAAUAAAAAAUCCAAGUCCACAGGAUUUUCAAGGAGUACAGUAAGGCCCAAAAAAUUAUUAAAAAAUGGGAUAAUGCCCUUAAAGAGCUUAAAAAGCUACAACAAGAGCAUAAAAGGUUACGCAUACAGGUAUAAGCCAAAGAAAUAAACAACACAAAGCUGGUUCGUGAAAAUGAAGAGCUAAAAAAAGAGUGUGACUAAAUAGAAAAUGCUUUCAUGGAGAUUGAACAAGAGAAUCAAUGGUUUCAGACUACAUCUAACUCUAACAUCAAAGUUGAAUGAACAAAAAAAUCAUGUUAGAAUCCUCACAGAAAGGCACAAAGAGCUAUCUUAUCAGGUAUGGUGCAACAAAAGAAAAGGGUUAGAAAGAUAGAGGUACAUAAAGCACCUCAUCGCUCAGAUAGGCAAGGCUAUGAUCAAAGCAAGAGAGAUGGCGAAAAAGGUUGAGACAUUAAAAGCUUCAAUUACACCAGCAGGAAAGCAUGGACAGAAGCUAUUGAACUUCAUUAAGGAAACUAAAUACCAAUAUAAGCAAGUUAGGCAUUUUUAUAGAGAAGCACUAUUAGGUUUGAUAUAAAUAGACUCUUGUGGAAUAAAUGAAAGUUUUCUUUUGUUAAAUUUCUUUUAAAGGGAAAAUAUGUUCUUUUUUCCUCUUUUCUUUUCUUUUUCAUGCAUUUGCAUCAUGCUCAUUCAUUUAUUCAUAACAUUAUCAUUGAAUUUUUAAUUAUGGUACUAAUAUGCAAGAAUAGCUACACAUCAAUACAAUACUUGGGCUCGAGCUAGAAAGAUGAAACAAAACAAUACAAGCCCCCUUGAAAGGAUAAAAAAAGCCCAAGAGGCACUAGAGGAAAAGUUUAGCCAAAUUCUAAAGGUCCUAAAAAAGGUAAAUAGAGGGAAAUCAAUGGAAAAAGAUACUUUAUAAGAAGCUACUAACUCAGCAUAUCCUCUAAGCUUCGGUCCACAACAAAAUUAAAUCGCACCACUCUUCCAAUCUAAAUAGGCAACUUUUCCAAAAUACAACUACCUAAGAAUGACCUAUACACCAGGUCAUGAAAAUGUCCGAAGUUAUAAUAAUCAUGUCUUUGCUAAAAAGGCAGCUGAGCCCAUUCAACUCCCUACUGUAAAUGAAGUAAAUGAGAAAGAAAAGACACAGAUAACUAUGCCUUUGGAGAAUUCUAAAACUGAUCAGGCCAUGAACAAGCUCGAGGAAAGAUUGUGGGCUAUUGAAGGAAUUGAUUUUUACAAUUCCAUGGAUGCAGUGGGACUUUGCCUAGUACCAGAUGUGGUGAUGCCACUAAAGUUUAAAGUAUCAGAGUUUGAUAAGUAUGACGAUACCAAGUGUCCUAUCACGCAUAUCACCAUGUACUGUCGUAAAAUAAACACAUGUUAGUAAUGAGAAGUUGCUUAUGCAUGUCUUUCAAGAUAGUUUAAUUGGGUCUGUAAUAAGAUGGUAUGUCCAGUUAGAUGGGACCCGAAUAAAGAUAUGAAAAGAUUUGACCCGAUCUUUCAUCAAUCAAUAUCACCAUAUUAUCGAUAUGGCUCUGGACUGCCCUUCUUUGCAAGCAAUAGAAAAGAAAACAUCCGAAUCUUUCAAGCAAUAUGCCCAAAAAUGGCGGGGUGUAACUGCUCAAGUACAACCUCCCUUAACAAAAAAAAAAACUAUUAUGCUAUUUAUGAGCACUCUAAAAUUACCCUAUUAUGAAAAGAUGAUCGAAAAUACGAUUAAAAAUUUUAUUGAUAUAGUGAUUUCAUGAGAGAUUAUUGAAAACGCUAUUAAAAAUGGUAAGCUUGAAGGAAGUGAGUUUUCUAAAAAAGUACCUAAGAAAGAGGAAAAUGAGACUCUAGCUGUGAGUCUUGAAAAGCAGUAAUUCAGAAGUUACUCUCGAUCUACCUACCCUACAUACCAUCACACAGUGAACCAUACCUCUGCAUCUAUUCGACAUCUUAUCCAUCUUCUCUAAGAUCUCUUGCCUACCUGGUCAGUACUACAAGUAAUACUAGGAAAACAUGAAUCAGAGAAAGACCCACUUUUGAUUCUAUACCCAUAAGCUAUACAGAGUUAUAUCAAGAACUUUACAAGAAUCAUCUAAUUGCUCAUGUCCUUACUAAACAACCCAAACCUUCUUAUCCCAAAUGGUAUGAUGUCACCACCCAUUACGACUACCAUUAUAGAGUAACAGGUCAUUCUACUGAAAAUUACCUUUAAAAUAAAAAUUACAGCAUCUGAUUAAAUAGGGACUGAUAAGUUUCGAUACCGGUGAGAGCUCAACACCUAAUUUUAGUAGGAAUCUCUUUGCCUAAUCAUACAGUCAAUGCCCUGGACAAAGAUAAAAGGCAUGCAAAAAAAAGGGUAUAAGAGAUUAAAAUGCCAUUUAACCAACUCUACGAUGUCUUAUAUGAAGUUGGACUGAUACAACCAGUGGCUCCAUUCACACAUGGGAGGAUGCAUCCCCAAUCAAAGGUGUAGGUAUCACAGUGCAGCUCCAGGACAUUCUAUUGAAAAAUAUCGAUAAUUUCACCAGGAUGUGCAAAAAUUAAUAAACUCUUACUAGAUAAAGUUAUAUGAGAAAUCAUGAGCCUCAAAAAAUAUUGUGGUGGCUAUGACAGAUAGAUGGGUGCCAAAACCUAUCACUAUACGUUGUAAGGAGAAGCCACAAUCAACUGGGAGUAAGUUUGUUCCCAAACCAGUAGCUUUCAAAGUCCUCCACCCAUUUUCUUAUAAAGAUAAUAAAGCUAUGCCCUGAAGAUAUGAAUGUGAGGGGAUGACUCAAGGGCAGCAAAAGUUAAGAGCCAAAACUACCAAUAUAACAGGACUAAGGGCAUAACUAGAAGUAAAAGAUGUUAUACUCUAGAGACUUUGAAAAAAGCAGAAAAGGAAAAAAAAAAAAAAAAGCAAACUAAAUUAGAGAUCCCAAAAAAGGAUACUCCAAAGUCCGUACCUAAAAAAAAAACUUAUGAGUUUUUGAAGCUAGUCAAGCAUAGUGAGUAUUCUGUAGUGGAGCAAUUGAAUAAGAUGCCAGCUAGAAUUUCUAUAUUAUCACUUCUCCUGAACUUUGAACCACAUUGCAACGCUUUGUUAAAGGUAUUAAAUCAUGCUUAUAUGGGUCAUAAUGUAUCUGUAAAAUAUGUGAAUCACUUGACAGGGAAUCUAAUGAUGCCACAUCACAUCUCUUUCGGCGAUGAUGAGAUUCCACCGAAAGGUAAAAAGAAUACUAAGACAUUACACAUCACUGUCAAGUGUAAAGGCCACAUAGUAGCUAAAGUCUUUAUUAAUAAUGAAUCUGCUAUUAAUGUCAUGCCGGUUUUCACUCUAGUUAAGCUACUCUUUGAUAUGUCUCAUAUCCAAAAUAGUCAAAUGGUGGCCCGAACAUUUGAUAGGACUAAGCAAAAAGUCUUAGGAAACGUUGAACUGCUCAUCCAGAUUAGACCAUGAGUCUUCAAUAUAAAAUUUCAGAUCAUGGAUAUAUCCCCAUCAUAUAGCUGCUUAUUGGGAAAAUCAUGGAUCCAUAAAGCAGGGGAUGUCCCUUCUUCAUUGCACCAAAAAAUCAAAUUCAAUGUAGAAAGGCAAUUGGUGAUUGUGGCCAGGGAAGAAUAUUUGCUAUGACCUAACCCAUAAAUGCCCUAUACGUCAAAACAACAAAAGAAUCAUUGAAGUGUUUGUACAGAUCUUUUGAACCUAUUAAUGCAGUAAGCGAAGGGUUCAAAUUCAAUUGAAUUGUGAUCAGAUUCUUAACAAGGGUUAGAGUAUCAGGUUCGGCCUAAGAAAAAACUCGCAAGGGAUAAGGGAGAUUCCUAAGAUUGAAGAUUAUAGUUGCAGAUCUGAAUUGGGUUAUGAAACAGAAGAAAUAUAGAACAAUAGCAGAAAGGCAAAAAAAGAAUCCAUGGUCUUUCCCUAUUUGAAUGAAACCUUUAUUCCUGGAGGAUACAUGCACUAGAGAGCUGAAGAGUACAUAAAAAAAGAACUAACAUGGGAAAAAGCUUUUGCUAAGCUAUCCAUUCAUAUGGUGGAUGAUGAAAGCCAAGAUAAGGAAACCUGGGUUUACCCAUACCCGUCAGGAUAUGAAUUACAAAAUUGGAGGGUUAUCCAAAUGCCUAUUGUUUCUUAUUUUCCUUUAAUGUCCCCAAAUAAAUGUGAAGGUAAUCAUGACAACGAUCUAAGAUUUAGCUUUGAAAAUUCAAUUAAUACUGAUGAACUUGAUACUAAAAAAGAUUCUGAAUAUUACACUUUAACUUCGGAUUUAAUUAGGCUAAUUGAACAGGAAGAUAUAUCUAUCGAGCCUCAUCAAAAGGUUGUUGAACUAAUCAAUUUGGGUGAUGCCAAAAACAAGAAAGAAGUCAAGAUUGGUACUUCAUUCUUAGUUGUUGACCGCCAGUGAUUAGAGGAGUUGCUCCGGGAGUUUGUUGAUGUAUUUACCUAGUCUUACCAAGAUAUGCUUGGACUAAGUACCAAAAUAGUGAAACAUAGGCUACCAUUGAAGCCAGAAUGCAAAUCGGUUAGCAAAAGCUAAGAAAAAUGAAAUCGAAGAUGCUGUUCAAAAUUAAAGAGGAAGUUAAAAAGUAAUUUGAUGCAGACUUUUUGUAAGUGACCAAAUAUCCUGAAUGGGUGGCUAAUAUAGUACUUAUCUCAAAAAAAAGAUAAAAAUAUACGGAUGCGUGUAGAUUAUAGACAUUUGAACAAAACUAGCCAUAAAAAUAAUUUUUUAUUACCUCAUUGAUACUUUAGUGGAUAAUACAACCCGACAUUCGAUAUUCUCUUUCAUUGAUAGAUUCUCUAGCUAUAAUCAGAUAAACAUAACUCCAAACUACAUGAAAAAAAUCAUUUUUAUCAUAUGAGGAACUUUUUGUUACAAGGUCAUGCCUUUUGGAUUAAAAAAUACUGGGACAACCUAUCAAAGGGCCAUGGUAACACUUUUUCAUGAUAUGAUACACAAAGAGAUUGAGAUGUACGAAAAUUAUAUGAUUACGAAAUCCAGAAAGGGAGAAAAUCAUGCAUUUAACCUUAGAAAAUUAUUUGAAAGGUUAAAAAAGUUUCAACUCAAAUUGAAUCCAACCAAAUGUACAUUCGGAGCCAAGUCAGAGAAAUUGUUAGGAUUUAUAGUUAGUGAAAGAAGAAUAGAAGUGGAUCCAAACAAAAUUCAGGCUAUUCAAAAUUUAUCUCCACUAAGCACACAAAAAGAGGGUUGAGGUUUCUUGGGCAAAUUGAACUAUAUAUCCCGAUUCAUUUCUCAACUCACUCUUAAAUGUGACCACAUUUUCAAACUCCUUCGAAAGAAUAAUCCUAAAGAAUGGAAUGAACAAUGCCAAAAAACUUUCAAUAAAAUUAAGCAAUACUUAUCAACCCUCUCAUAUUAGCACCCCAUGUUUCGAGAAAACCAUUGAUCCUAUACAUAAUGGUAUAUGAAGGCUCAAUAGGAUGUGUGAUGAGACAACAAGAUGAAUCCAACAAGAAAGAAAAAGUUAUUUAUUACCUGAGCAAGAAAUUUAUGGAGUAUAAGUCCAAGUAUUCAUCAUUAGAAAAAAUGUGUUAUGCUUUGACUUGGACAACUAAAAGACUCAAGUAAUACAUGCUCUACCACACAACUUGGCUCAUAGCUAAACUGCAUCCCAUUAAAUACAUCUUCGAGAAACCAUCACUACCAGAAAGAAUCGCAAGAUGGUAAAUAAUGCUCUCCGAAUAGGACAUAGUAUAUGUGAACUAAAAAGUAAUCAAAAGAAGUGUCAUUGCUGAAUUCUUGACAAACAAGGCCGUUAAUGAUUAUGAGCCCAUGAAGCUUAAUUUUUUAGAUAAGGAAUUAAUGGUCAUCUCAAAAUUAAAAGAAGAUGAUGAUAAGGAAAAAACAUGACAGAUAUAUUUCGAUGGGGCCACUAAUGCCAUGGGGCAUGGGAUUGGAGUAGUUUUGAUAUCUCCAAUGGAGCACUACUAUCCUGUUACAGCAAGAUUGAAUUUUAAUUGCACCAAUAAUGUAACUGAGUAUGAGACUUGUGUCAUGGGACUACAUGCUACUUUAGACAGAAAAAUUGAAACAUUAAAAGUGUUUAGGGAUUCAACUUUAGUCAUUUAUCCAUUGAAAAGCGAAUGGGAAACAAAGGAUUCCAAACUCAUCCCUUAUCAUAAAUACAUUUUAAAGUUGUACAGAUAGUUUAAAAUAAUUCAGUUUGAACACUUGCCUUGGAAAGAAAAUUAAAUUGCAGAUACAUUGGCUACCUUAACCGUAAUGGUACAAAUUGAUGACACUACAAAGAUUUAACCUAUCAAAUUGGAUAUCAAAGAUAUGCCAAUACAUUAUGCCAACUUGGAAAAGGAGAAAGAUGGCCGCUUUUGGUAUUAUGAUAUUAUGCGAUAUUUAAAGAAUCAGUAGUAUCUAGAUCAAGCAACAAAAAAUGAUAAGAGAAUCUUGAGAAUGUUAGCUAUAGGAUUCUUCCUAGACAGAGAAAUUUUAUACAAACGAAGUAAGAACCAAGUGUUAUUACGCUGUGUAGGCACUUCUGGGGCCAAAAAUAUUAUUGAGGAAGUUCACAAUGGCACAUGUGGAGCACAUGCAAAUGGGCACAUGAUGGCAAGACAGGUUAUGCGAACAAGAUAUUACUAGUUGACAAUAAAAAAAGAUUACAUCGAUUAUGCUCGAAAAUGCUAUAAAUGUCAGAUUUAUGCUGACAAAAUUCAUGCUCAACCCAGUGUUUUGCAUGUCAUAGCACCACUUUGGCCAUUUUCUAUGUGAAGGAUGAAUAUCAUUGGACCUAUCACACCAAAAGCCUCAAACGAAAAUAGAUUCAUUUUUGUGAUGAUUGAUUAUUUCACUAAACAGGUCGAAGCUUCUUCUUUCACAACCGUGACUAGAUCCAUGGUUUGUAAAUUCAUCAAAAGGAAAAUAAUCUACAAAUAUGGGCUCCCAGAAAGAAUUAUCCCAGACAAUGCAAAGAAUUUGAAUAGCAAGAUGAUGCAAGAAGUAUGUGUUCAAUUCAAAAUCAAACACCAUAAUUCAGCUUCAUAUCGUGCAAAAAUGAAUGGGCCAGUAAAAGCUGCAAAUAAAAACAUCAAAAGGAUUCUUAAAAAGAUGAUUGAAACAUACAAGGAUUGGCACGAGAAAUUACCUUUUGCUCUACAAGCAUAUCAAACUUCUGUGCGCACCUCUACUAGAGCAACUCUUUUUUCCUUGGUUUAUGAUAUGGAAGUUGUGUUGCCAGUAAAAGCAAAAAUCCCAUCUCUAAGGGUCCUAAAAGAAAUGGGAUUAAAAAAAGCUGAAUGGAUUCAUGAGCACUAUGAGCAAUUAAACUUUAUUGAGGAGAAGAGAUUGAUAGCACUAUGCGAUGGCCAAUUGUACCAAAGGAGAAUGAUAAAAGCUUAUGACAAAAAGGUCAAAUCUCAUCAGUUUCGAAAAAAAAAAUUGGUGUUGAAAAAAAUACUUCCAAGACCCCGAAUUGAAAAGGACCAUAUAUGGUAAAAAAAACAUUUUCGGGAGAAACUUUAAUCUUGUUAGAAAUGGAUGGAGAUGAACUUCCUGGUUCUAUCAAUUCUGACGCAUUAAAAAAGUAUUUUGUUUGAUUCCAAAACAAAAAAAAACUCAAAAAAAGAGUUCAAAUCGAAAACCCGAAAGGGUGAUUUGAAUCCAAAAACAUAAAAAAAAAGAAAAAAGAGUUUAAGUUGAAAACCCAAAAUGACAACUUAGAUCCAAAGAAAGAGGUUCGGAUUGAAACUCUUGAAUUGGCAUCACUUAGGAAGGCACACCAGGGAUAGUAAAUUCCAAAAAGCUUUGAAGUGUUAGAGCAUCAAGUUAUGAUUAAGUUUUUGAAGGAGAUCCCAGAUUUGUUAUCAUGGUUAUCUAAUCAUUUAUCUUGGGGCAUUGCUACCCGAAAUAGUUACUCCUAAAUACUCUCAUUUUAUAUCUAUACCAUCAUUUGUAAUUUAUUGUUUAUCCAAAUAAAUGAAAGCUAUCUUAUUAUUCUCUUAGUCCUAUACAUUGCCUUUUUUCUUUAUACCUUGGCAUGAAUGAAAAAAAUGCAUAACUUGCAGCCUUGCACUUUGAAAUUGGGAUAGUGAUUAAUAACUGAACAAAAUCGUAAGAAGUUGUGUGUUGCCUCGAAGAAUUAAAGGAGAUAAAGGCAAAUGAUGAAUGCCUCCACAAAAAAAGGGAAAUUGACUUUCAUGACUUUUUUGGGAUAAACAUUUAGGCUAAUGAAAGAUGGUUUCUUUGCUAAAGAUGAGCCUCCAUGUUGAUGAAAAAUAAUUUUUUUGCCAAAUAUGAAAGAUGAUUUCUUCGCUAAAAUGUACAAUGAAGAUAAAUAUUCAAGAUAAUGGAAGAUAAUUUUUCUGUUAAAUGUGUGCAGCAACGAGAAUGCAGAAGCCCUAGUACCAUAAUUGAUGUUUCAUUUGCAAAAGACAUGCACUUGCAUUAUCUAUUCAUCUGAUCUUGGCUCAGUUUGAAUCAUUUCUUAUGAUCUAUGGUUCUGUCUCGAUUAUUUAAUUUCAAUCUCGAUUCAGUCUUGGUCACCUUCCAACUUACGGCAUCGUUCCAAUCAUUUGAUCUCAACUUAAGUCAGAUCAUCUUCAUACUCGAGACAUCAAUCCACUCAUUUUUUACAUCGACUCGAUCUUGAUUGCCUCUAGACUCGCGACAUUGUCCCAAUCAUUCGAUAUCGACUUAGGUCAGAUCAUCUUCAAAGUCGCAACAUCAAUCCUUGACUAAGUUUUGGUCACCUUUAGAUUUGCAACACCGUCCCCGUCAUCCGAUCUUGACUUGAGUCAAAUCAUCUUCAAAUUCGCGACAUCAGUCUGAUCAUUUAUUUACAACAUCGACUCGGUCUUGGUCACCAUUAGACUUACGACAUCAUCCCAGUCAUUUGAUCACGACAUUAUCCCAAUCACUCGAUCUUAGCUCAGGUUAGAUCAUUUUACUUUCAACUCAAGGUUCACCUCCAGUUGAUUUUACUCUCUGAUUUGACUUGAACAGAACGAAUGUCUAGGUCUUUGCAUCACAUUUGUUUAACAAAGAUAUGUAAAGAAAAAUAACUGUAGACACGCAUUUGUGUCCAAGCCCAUUGAGGGCUAGACCCGAUUAAGCCCAUCAAUGUUUGAGCCCAGUUAGGCCUAUUUGGGUCCAGACCUAAGUGGAUAGCUUAUUUUAUUUUUAUUAUUAUUUUUUUAUUUUAUUUUUAUUUUUUCUCUUUUCUUUUUUUUGUUUUCCUAUUUUACUAUUUUUCUUUUUUUUUUUUGUUUCAAUCCACUCUUGCACGAAAGAAUGAAUCAUGAUUAGGAUCCCCUAUUUAAAUUCAAUCAAUAUUUGCUAGAAUUUUUGACCUAAAAUCUCAUCUAGAUAAAAUGCAAUCCCAGGAUUUAAACCUGAGAUUAAUUAUAUCCGUUUCUUAAAAUCAUUGUAAUACUGCCUAUAAAUUAGACUAAUUUCUACAAAAGAAACAUACAUAAACACAAAAAAUUUGAAAAGAAAACAUAUGAAAAAAAAUCUAAAAAAUACUGGACAAAAAAGGUUCUGAAGUUCAAUCUAAAAUUGUGAGAUUGAUUUUAAGUUUCUUGGUUAAGAUUAAAGCUUAGGACAAUUAUGGAAGUAAUCUAGGCAAAUUUUAAAAAAAUCUAAAAAAAUUCAAAAAAAUAUGAGUUUUCUGGUUUUUCUUAAUUUUUAAAGAAGAAUAUAAAUUUUUUGAUGAAUUUUUCAAUGCCAUUUCAAGUUUUCGAUGAGAUUCUAACGUGAUUCUAAAAUCUAACCAGAUUUUCAGAAACCAAUAGAUUUCAAUUGAAUUUUUCGAUAACUUUUUCAAAAACCGAUGGAAUUCCAAUCUUUGAUUAAAGUUUUCAAUGGACAACUCUAGAGAGAAAGCAGAGAAAAGUUGAAGUAGAGGGAGAAAAAACAAGACUUACGAAAAAAAAUGUUAACUUAGCUUUUAUAUGACAAUUGAACGACGUUUCGGAUAAACUAAGAUCUAAGCGUAAACCUGAUAACCCACAUGUUAACCCGCACCUUGACCCGACCCAAUCGCAAGUUUUUUUUUUUAUUUUUUUAUUUUAUUUUAUUUUAUUUUUUACCUAUUUUCUUAUUUUUUGGUUUUAUCUUAAAAAAACCAAAAAAAGUUAUUUUUGUCAUCUUUAUUUCCAAAAGAAAAAUAAAAAAUAAAAAAAAGAAAAAAUAAUAAUGCUAAAAAAAAGAAAAAAUGAUACAUACAUACAUAAAUAAAUAAAAAUCCUUUCAAUAAAAAAUAAUUUUCAUCCUUUAAACUAUUGAAAGAUUACUUUGAAGUUAACCCUACCAAACUAUUAGAAAGCUGCACUAAUUAUUUUAAAUAAAAGUUAAUAAAUCCGACAAUAAAACCUCUUCAAAAUGAGAUAAUAGCCUCUAUGAAUACUCUCGAAGUGAAAAAAUUAUCCUAAAUUACUACCAAACUAUUGGAACAAUUUUAUGGUUAAUUUUUAAUAUUAAAUUAUUUGUUAACUAAUCAAAAUGAUCAAUACUUGGAUAAUUUGAAAUCAAACUAAUACCAUCUUUUGGAUAGGUGUGAGAUGCUACAACCUUCCCAUACAUAACCAACUCCCGAACCUAAAAUUUAUUUUGUAGAUCGAAUUCAAUCAAUGGACCAAUCACACCUAAAUAAAAAAUACUAGUGACGACUCCCUCUAAUCCAUGUCUAACAGUAAAUCCACGAAUUUAUACGGUAUAACAGUUAUAAUUCACACAUUAAAUAGAAUACAACCUACAGCAAUCCAUACUUAAUCCAGUUCAGAAAUUUUAGCAUCAAGACACAUCAAACUCAAACAAUCUUGCUUAGUACCCGUAGUUUGAACCAUAAACAGAGCCAUAGCCCCCAUUAUGGCCUGCAUGUCCUGGAUUGGAUGGUGGCGACGCAUAUACAGAACUAUGAGCCGCAUAAGGAUUAUAAGCUUGGUCUGCUGCCCCACCUGGUUGUGCCUGAGCAGGAGCUGCAGCUUCAGCCAUAAAAUUCUGCAAUAUAAUAUAUGCAAUAUCAGUAUUUAACCGAGCCGGAUCAAUUGAUAAUAAUCAGUAGCUAUAGUAUUCUACUCAAUAAAUUGCAACCGAUAGUAACCCAAGGAAGCAAUGUUCUGACAACCGAUAAAACACAAAGCCUUCACAUGCACAAAGAGAGAGAGAGAGAGAGAGAGAGAGAGAGAGAGAGAGAGAGAACGAACAAAGUCAGAAGAUCAUCUAGUGAAAACAUUAGCAUGAUUAACACCAGCUCUAUUACACAAUUAUUCCACUUAGAAAGCUACAUAGAAAUGAGGUUUCAAAAACAUCAUUACAAGGGCCUCUCAUUGUUUUACUCCCAUAAAUCAUAUUAGUGAAAACUCUAUCUUAUGCAGCCCUCUAUGAUCAUGUAUCAGACUGAAACUGGUCAAAACCAUCAGAAAACACAUAAUUUAACAUCUAUGUUAUAAAAUGCUUCUUUUCUAGGUAGGACAAUAAUAGACAUGAUAGAUAGGACCCAUGGUAACUAUUAGCAGAGGUGUAAAGUCAAAUUACAGAGACACUGACCAAGCCUCCAAGCAGGUGGAAAUAGCAUUAGAAGGAAAUCAGCAGCAUAAGCAAUGAAAAAAAAACAUAUAUACUGUUUCCAAUAUCUAGCAAAUAGAAAAAGAAUGACCAAAAAGGUUCAGAAGCCAGGGCAAAGGACAUUGCCUGUAUCAGUUGCUGAGCAGUUUGAACUUGUGAAGCAGUUCCACUUAUUUCGACUGUCAUUUCACCAGGAACACCUCUAGUUUCUUGAAUGGUGACAGUUGCCCCACUAGCACGUCGAAUAUAGCUAAUACUUGCACCAGCUGUCCCAAUAACAGCAUCAACAUAAGAUAGCGGAAUUUGCAUUUGCUGAGUGACCUGCAAAGAAAAGAAACAGAACAUUUUAGGAUCCGGUUUGGUCAAGCAAGCCAAGACCAUUAACCGACUUAAAACUUUAAAGUAGUAUUUGGUAUCAAUUUGAAGAUCACCAUGAUAAUGUAAUCACAGAUGUGAUCUUAUCACUCAUAAUUUAAAAUUAUUUAAUUUCUUUAAUAAUCAUUAAUUCAUAAAAAUUAAAAAACAUAUAUGAUAUCUCCAAAAAGCAAAUAUUAUUUUAUUUUUUUAAUUCAUAGGAAUUUGAAAUAUCAUUUUAUUUAAAAGUACGAAAAUAUCCACGCAUAUUUCAAUAGGUACACAAGUUAUGAUUUUAAUGUUAUUUAAAGAUAAUUUGUAAAAUAUAAUAAUAUUUUAUUUAUUUUAUAAUAAAAUAUAAUUAAAUUGUUAAAUUAAUAAAUAUAUUUAUUAAUUAGAUAAAUUAUGUAAAAAAAAAAAUAAAAACAAAUCUAUUCAAAUCAUAAUAAAAGAAAAAUAAAAAAUUAUAUUAUAUAUAAAACAUUAAAAAAAAUUAAAAAAAGUACACAAAUUAUUUCUUAACUUGUUAAAAUGAAUAUUAGUUUGAAAAAAUAAAAUUUUAUAAUAUAAAAUAAUUAUAAUUUUAAGAGGAAGCAAGCUUUUAAUUCAUAUAUUAAAUAGGUAAUAUUGACUAUUGUUAAUUUUAAAUAUUAUUUUAUCUCAGUGGUAAAAGUUUUUCACCGUUUUAAAUGAGAAUUAGAUCACCCUCCAGACAAUAAUCAGAUCACUCUCAAUGAUCCAAAAUCAAAAUCACUAUCAUGUAAGAUCACCAAGUGCAUACCAAAUACGAUUAUCUAAUCACUGUGUAAUUGACCAAAAAAAUCACUUCGUAUAGAUUACUAUGGUUUUUGGAGAGAUUACCCCAAACUAAACACUACCUAAAAGAUUGGAAACACCUUGUAGUCAGGAGCCUAAAAUUAAAAUUAUGCCAAGUCCAACAAUCUCUAAACUAACAACCAAAAAAUCUACCAACAGCCAAAAACAAAUGGGUAGAUCAAAAGAUGAGGAAGCAUGGAUCACUACAAUGCAAGAACAAGAGAGGCUUGCUAAAACAUCCCCAUCCAUGCCCUUUCAGGCUGACGCAGGCAACUUACUCCACAUGGAAUUCUAUGCUAAAAUUCAACAAACAAGCACUCCCCAUGACUUAAACAAUCCAAACCAAGAACCAAGGAAUCACAUUAAUAGUAGCUGUAUAUCAAGCUCCAAAGCAUCUUUUUCUCAAGUCGCAUGGAAAUUAGAGGGUUGGAGAAAAAGGGGCCACCAGGUAAGCAGUGGUAUGGAAUUACCUGUGUGAUCAUUGAUGAUGCAGUCUGUGGAUUUGAUGAUGCAUGGGCACCCAAUGGCGCUUCUCUUCCAUAGGCAGAAAUACCCAGAUGUGGUUGUUUCUCCAUAGAAGGCAUAUCAGCAGGAGGGUAGUAAUUGUCAUGUUGCCGUGGAGGUGGCAUGUACCGAGGAUUGUGUCCAAAACCAGCACCUCCACUAGCAUUUGGAGGGACACCUUGAGGUGGACCCCAGGAUUGAUGAGGUGGCAUGUGGUCCAUCUGAGGAUUAGACAUUUGCAUCUGGUAGAAACAUGUAACAGAAUUUCAUUACAUUCUAUACACUAACAGAGGCACAAUUAACCGGUAGGUCAACCAAAAAAAUAGAAAGCCCGUUACAUGCAUUCAAAUAAAUGAUUAUACUACGGUCCACUAAAACUUCCUAGAGAUGACAUGCAAUUAGUUCCCAACCGCUUGUGACACAGCGCUUCUCCACAACUUCAACCCCCUAUCAUCUUGAAGACAAAGAUUGGAAAGUCUUCGCAACAAUUUAUUUAACAAAGUAAAAAAGAAAAAAAAGAAAUUCAAAAAUUAUUAUGAAAAAAUUACCAAUCAAAAGCAGAAAAACAUACAAAUGAAAUCCUUGAACAAAAGGAUGAGUAUUGAGAUUAUCAACAAAGGAUGCAAACCUAAAUAACGUUCAAAUUAUCAGCCAUUGGAAUAAAAACCUUAUUCUUGAAUUUGGAUAGAAAUCAAGACAGUCAUAUUCUCAACAUUAUAAUUUGAUUUGAGAGAACCAGUAACAUUAUUCACCCACAACUUAAUGAAACACACACAAACACACAAUCACACAUUCACACAUUUCACAUACAAGGAACAAUAUUAAAUGCUAUUAAGAUAGACACUUGAAAAUAGUUUAUGUACAUUGAUCAUAAAACUCUUCCUGCAAUAUCAACAAUUAGAUAACUACUACAACCUGAAAAAAUGACAAAUUUUUCACUCUAAAGGAAAAGAAAAAAAAAUGUGAGAAACAAAAUCCUGAGAAGAAAACCUGCUCCAAGAACUCUAACAAUGCAAUUAGAAGAUUCUUGAACAGAUUUGACAGUUGUUCCUUGUUUUCCAAUCAAACUUCCAGCUUGUGAUGCAGGGACUAGCAGCCUUGUUGAAACCUUGGUUCCGACAGCUGUAGGUGCGUGAAAUGAAUCACCUUCCAAACCAUCUACAAUACGUUUAUGGACCCUCAAAAGCCCAUCCAUAGCAGGGGGAAGAGAAGAAUCAGGCUCCUCCUUUGCAGAUAUCAUUACCUGUUGACAAAAUAGUAGCAUCAGCACAAAGGCUAACAUGUUAAGAUUCAUGGUCCACAUGCCCAAAUAAAAUUGGGAAGAGAAAUUAAGAAACUAAUAAAUACCUCAAUUUUAUUGCAUCCACCAGCAAAUAAGGACAAAGAGGUCAAAAUAUGCCAUAUCGGAUCAGAUUCAAGACAAUCUAUAACAUAACAUUAAACUCUUUUUGUUCGAAGGAAAAAUUACUUGAUUUUGUUCAACAAUGACAGAUUUUUACUAAAAUUGUUUUAUUUCAGCAGGACUAUAACUUUAUCUUAGUUGAGUUACUUUUUUCCAACAUACUGUCCAUGUAUCAGUGCAAACUACCAGCCUUGUCUGAAGAAAGGGAACAGACUUAUUAACCAAGCUGUUUUAAAAUGUUAAAUUUUGCAAGUUAUUUGGAUCAUAGAUUUUGAAUUUUAUUAGGAAAUAUAUCAUACAUGCAUAUACAAUAUUAUAUCAUACAUGCAUAUACAAUAUCCAUAUUAUUGAGAGAGUUUUCACACGACUUUGGGUAAAUUUAUACCAUAAUUAUCGUAGGCAUAUGUAUGAUGGUUACAAAUGAGAAUUUAAAUUUAGCUUGAUUUCCAGGGAUCUUAGAACACUUUCCACGGGUUCCUUUAAGAUUUUCAUUUUAGAAUCUGAGGCAAGACACCAAUCAUCCAGGUUCUGAAGUUACCAGAGAGAAAGCGGAGCUUCUUGAUAUGGUUGUUUGUACAAGAUGUGUCCGUUAAUUCAGAUCAAACUUUCAGCACUUUGAAAUGCUCAAUGUUGAUCCCUGCAAUCUGAGACUUUGGUACCUCAAAAUUGGAGUAUUAUUGAUGAUUGACUCCUUGCCUUAAAAUUUGCGAACGAAACCUGCACAGACUCAUUCUUGUUAUUGCAAUAAAGGGAACUGUAUUUGUAUUUUAUUGAUUGCUUCUUGUGGCCUUCCUUACUGUCUUCUUCAAUUACUCAAAUCUUUAAACGAUAUCAUGCCUCAGGAAUGUAAUUGACUGCCAAUGUGUCGAAACUUUAAAAAUUGAUGAACAAUUAUUAUGUAAGAAAGAAUUAUAUUUAUUCAAAUUACUGCAAUGUGAAGCACAUUAAAACUUACAACCAUUAAUUUAGCACUUCCAUUCUUCUUACUAUUUAUUUAACGUUUUUCUUAUAUACAUUCUUCAUAGAAUUUAUUUAGAUUAGAAAGGAAUACUUAAAAGCUUAAUGUUGCCUUGGUGAUGUAUAUUUAAGAUUUCCAUUUUUUAUUAUUUUCAUGUUUUCUGGUAGAUUAAUUAAACCAAUAUAUCAUGUACAUAAGCAGUCCUAAACUAGAUGAGAUCUAGCACAAGUCAAAGAGCAGACUUUAUUAUUUUCUAUGGUGAAAAUCAUUUCCAUGUCAUUGUACAACUACAAUACAACAUGGCCUCAUUCUGAGCACAAAAUAGCAAAUAAAUGCACAUGAAAUCUCAAACAAAUAAAAAGACAACAGCAAAGUGUCCAACAAGAAUCAGAAGAUACACAGAAAGAAAAAGCAGGUAAAGAAAUCCCCUGCAAUGACUGUCUGCUUAAGUUUGCCACUUUGUGAGCAGAAUCAUUCUUCAUAGUAUAAGAUGAUGAAAAUGUCCAUAUCGCUUAUAACACGAUAGUACAAGUAGACACAAAAAGUGAGCAUCAACAAGUAGAACUGGUUCUUCCCUAAUAGUCUAUUCCCAGAAUCAAAGCUAAAUAUAAUAUAAGCCAAGAGAAGGUACAAACUUACAGCUCUCUCUGUUGUCCCCGGAGGACCAUCAAGUAUCUUGAUACGAGCUCUGGUCUCCUCAACUAUUUUUUUAAUGAACUCCCCUUUUCGUCCAAUUAUACUACCAACCUUCUGUGCAGGAACCAACAUCCGGAAAACACUCUCUCCAGGCCAUCCAGGCCACUUCUUUUCACCACCUCCAACCACUGCCUUAUCUUCAUGCUCAUGUUUUGGUUGAUGUGGCGAUUCCUGCUGCAAGUUCUGCUCCUCCAAGUUGUCUUCCGGAUUUUCCUCCAAGUUCAAGUUCUGCCCAAAGUCCAAGUUCUGCUCCAAGUUCACAUUCUGCUCCAGGUUCAAGUCAUACUCCAGGUUUGGAUUCUGCUCCAAGUUCUCAGGUUCUUGUGCCUGUUCCUCCUCAUGUUCAACAAAGCUUUGAUCAACUUCAGCCAUAUGCAUAUUGCUGCAGAGAAUUAAAAAGGAAAGAAAACAAGAACACAUGAAAAAUAGUACAAUGUAAAACAUUUGUUCCAAUCUGACUGUUUCUAAAGGUCAAUAAUAGCACAUUGAUAAUAGCAAAUAUUUGUGCCAAC